UUGGGGUUUUUCUUGAUGGAUUCUCGUGGGAAUUAGUUCAUGAUUUCUUCUUUUACGCCACAUUUAGGAUACUGAUUCUUCUUGUAGUCCCUGUUUGUUGGGAUUCUUCUUGAUGGAUUCUCGUGGGUAUUAGUUCAUGUUUUCUUCUUUUACUCGACAUUUAUUUGAGUUCUCGAUGAUUCUUUCUGAGUACUGAUUCUUUUUGUAACCAUAUUGGAUCUAAUCCAACAGACAGCCAACUACAAGCAACUCAAGAAGGGUGCUAACGAAGUUUUUUUUUUUUGUCUUUUGUUGAGAUGUAACCAGGUUGUUAUGGAAGUGCACACACACAACGGUUGUUAUGGAAGUGACGAUAUAGGGGAAGAGAUAACAUUCUUUGAUAUGGAAGUGACGAUAUAGGGGAAGAAAUAACAUUCUUUGAUGAGAUGUAACUAAGGGUUGACGUUAUGGCAUUGGGUAUAUUAUUAGUCCACUACUAGUUUUCCAGCUUGGGAUGUAGUAAGUAGGUCCCCAUCCAUCCAUCCAUCCAUGUACUUACUAUCUCAUUAUUAUACAAAAUAUAUAGGGAUUGAUCGUUUGAUUAGAAUGUUAAUCUGACAUUUGGUUGAAGGAAAGCCAAAUGUUGAUGCGAGUGGCUGAAUGCCAGUGAUCUUUUUUGUCUAAACGCUACUUCCAAGCAGUGAGUGGUGUGGUGGUUACACACAAUUCAAUAGUUUUUUUUAUUUAUUAUUGGGGUUUUAAAAUUGCGAAUCCGUGUGAAUUGUGUGUAUGUUUGUUGCAAUGUUCAGAUUUUCUGUUCCCUAUGUUUUUUUGUUCCUCAAGCACUUUUUGGGUCGAGCUUGUGGCGGGGGAUAUUCUUCGCCAUCGCAAAGUCUGCAGCACAUUUGCAAUCAACUAAAUCAAUUAGCCAAUAAAAACUGCGCCUAACUUGUAUGGCACAAGAUAGGUUUUUAUCAAAGACUACUCUGGAGCGAGAAUUACACAACAAAGACAAGUGCCGCGAAGCCUGAGCUGAGCUGAAGGGUCAACUCAUACUUGAACCGCAAAGGAAGUCCGUGUACCUGCUGUCACGCAAACCACUGAAAACCAAAAAGUCCACAAUUAGUUUUUUAAGUCCAUACUAGUCACAAAGCUCUUAAUAUAACACAACAUAAAGGAGGAGUGUUACCAUUUCACUGAUUAGGUAUUUGAUUCUGUGGUUGUGCAAAGAAGUCUUUGGCAUUGCGUGCCACCUCUGCCUCCACCACUGCUUCUAGCAGAAUAUCGCAACCUUUUGCUUCUUCAUCUGACAUCACAUCAAACAAAAAAAAAACAAACAAAAGUUGUUUCAGAUGAUAUAUAUAUAUAUAUAUAUAUAUAUAUAUAUAUAUAUAAUCCCUAAACUAGUGAUGCAAGAGAUAAAAAAAAAUUGAGUCAAUUACUCCUAGUGAUGCAAGAGAUUAAAAAAAAAAAAAAGGCAUAAGAAGACUUUACUAGAAACAUUUAAAAGAGGUUUAAGUUGUCUUUUAAUUAACUAGAGAUAUUGUCCUGUACGGAACUUAGCAGGUAAAGACCUAUGUAACUUCACUAGAGAUUUGUUACUGUUGUACAUGCUUGAAACCCAAACAAAAGAGAGAGAGAGGAGCAAAAGAACUAUUACCUCCCAACUAAUGAACCAACAUUUACUGUUUUUAACAUUUGAUGGAUUAAUUGUAACAUUAUCUUUUUUUCUGUCCCACUCCAAGAGAAAAUCCAAACUUUUGACACAUCAAUCUAUCUAAAGAGAAUGUGAAAAAUUAAAACUAACAAGUUUCUGCUGUCAUAGAUAGAUCUCAAAUGCUACUUGAUCAAAUGGUCCAUUUUUAACUAAUAUUAGAUUCAAUUAAAUUGAUCUAGUUCAGGCACAGUUUGGUUUUAGGUUAACCAUUAUUUACUUCUUGAAGAUCCAGAUCUGUUGAAGGUCCAAAUUCUCUAUGUUGUAAGCAUUUCUGUAUUAUUUUCAAGAAUGUAAUCAUCAAGCAUGCAUAUCAUGGGAGGUCCAUCUGUGAGAAAUCAGUUAAGCAAGUUUCUGCAAUCAGUCGAGGAAUUGGACUAGGAAAUUUUGGUCAAACAUGGAGAAGAAUCAAAUGGAUUCUCCAAAACUUCAAGCAUACAUACAUAUCAUGGAAGCUGCACUUAUGUGGAAUCAAUCAGAGGAAUUGGACUAGGAAAUUUUGGUUGAACAUGGAGAAGAAUCAGAUGGAUUCUCCAAGCUUCAAUUCAUCAAGCAUACAAAGGCAAUAAAGAAGAGAGGUAGCUCCAAAAGAGAAACACAUCAUCUGCUUUACUAAAACCUUGAUUAAAACCAACAAAUCAAACAGAGACUUCUGAAACUUCUGCGUAUGAAAAAAAAAAAAAAAGACAAAGAAGCUACAAAUUAAGAAUCUAAAAUGAGGUAGAAGACAUUUUUGUUUUCUUGUUUGUGACAUCAAAAUAUAUAUAGAAAAAUCCAAAAUUUUCUCACCCAGUAUUCUUUACGGAACUCAUAGUGUAUAAAAUCUAAACAUAACUGCACCUUAUGAAACUUACUGGUCGCUGACAUUUUAGUCUCGGUCAAUGACAUUCACUUUCAUGUCCAUUGCUCAAUCAUCGUCUUCUUUCUAAAUAUCUUAAGAGUCCUUUAAAGUUAGCCUAUUUUUCCUAGUCCAAUUCAUUUGACAAAAACUUCAUAGAAUUGGUACAAAAUAUAUAAAGUAAUUCAACCUAGAUAAAAACAUGGAAUUCUAUCAGCAGCAGAAGUGACUAGAGAUUUACCACGAUGCUUUGGAAGUAAUCCCGCAGAUUCAGCAGAGACAGGCAGAACAGUCAGCAGAUCGCCUUCACCAUUAAGUUUCAACACAUCUUCAUGAGUUUCAGAAGAACUUAAUUUGAUAUUUGGAGCUUCAGCUAGCCUCGCAUAAGCCAUUGCUUGGCUAUGCAGACUGGAAGAAACUGAAUUUGCUCUAGUCAGAUCCUGGAGAGUGAAAAUGAAUACAAGAAAUAAGCAACUUGAGAUGCAUAAACAUGAUAACAUAAUUAUCUGGGUUGAGUGAAACCUUAGAGAUUGUUGCUAUUGGCUGAUUCUCUCCAUCAGGUUUUGCAGCAAUGUCAAGGCCUGAUAAUAUCCUUGAAAAGGCCUUGUUAUAGUAGAAAUUCCAAGAAGCAUUGUGCAAAAAUACAAAGAAUAAAGGGACCUUGAAAUAGAUCAGAACUACAAAGUUUGCUCCAUACCAGUGUUUUGCACUUGUUCUUGUCCAUCCAGCCUCCGUGUAAAUGGACCUGGGUUUAUGAUUGAUAUGCUACGUAUUUCAUAACGAAUUGCUUCUAAUUGAGCAAUGGUGUCUUGUAGUUCUUUGUGUACCUAAGAAUGUGAUACUAUGAGGAAUACAAUGAUAUAUAGGAUAAGUUACAUGAGCCAGAUCAGCAUGAUUCUCUUAAAGAGAAACAUAAUGUUCUAUUGUCCAGAACAAUCAGCAAGAGAUACUAUCAUAUACACCACAUUGAAUAGGAUUUAUUGUUCUCAACUUCUUUCAAUCAGAUAAAGAAUAAGAAAACAAAUGACAAAAUAAGAAGGCCUGGUAGAUCUUUUAUGUUUCAUUAAGUUCUAGUUUGUUGCAUGCAUGGUAUUGACAAAAGGUUACAGACACUUCACUUUCUUUUCCUCUAGAAAAAUCGAGUUUCGCCAAGAGAGAAACACAAUUCAUGAGGAUUCCAAAAAAAUAAUAGAAAUGCACGACUGUUUAAUCUUUUUAAUAAUCCUUGCUGUUCACAUUAUUUAAAUUUAAUCAUUAAUGCCUCAUCUAUUUUUUUCUUGUCCAUUAAUUUUUCGUUGUAAUUUAGUCCUAGUUGUUUCCAGUGUCCACAAAGUAACCCAUGCUACAAAUCCAUAAUUCUUGUGAUCCAUGCUGCACAAAAUUUAAACCAGCACAUAAUUCACUUAUGGUGACACAAGAUAUCCAUAACCGCCAAUGCUGUAUUCAUACCACCUAUUGUCAGCUUGCUAGAAAUUUUUCCACAUUUUACGCAAGAACCAUGCUUUAGCAACGUUCAUCACAAUUCCUCAUACUUUCCUCCUUUCUCAAGCUUCAUAUUCCAAUUGGACAUCCCAAUGCCACAGCUUUAUUAUUGCCUGGAUACAUCAUGUGCUACUAUGAUAUUUUGUCCUUAGAAAUGGAUAAUUUUUCAUUAAAAUAGAAUGACAUCUUGUUGGCUUCCUGGAGAACAAGAACAUUCCUCAUGUCAACAACUACCUUGUGCAUGGGCUAUUUAGUUAAUAGAUACUUCAGAGCAAGCAGGGUCAUUUUCAUUAUUAAUAAAUUAUUUCAUGAACAACCAACUCAACACAUGCCUAGUUUAGAUAUCAAAGUUUUUCUUUCCCAACAAGAAGUAUAACAUAUAGUGACCGGUUAAAUUAUAUACAACAUAAAAAACUUGAGAGUUUAGAUAUCAGGUCACCAAGCAUCAUGAACAUUAAAGAUAUGUUAUAGCUAUUUCUGGCACCUACUCCAAUCAUCUAGUUAGCAGGCUUUCGAUGUUAAUUUUCGGUCAAUUGUCCUGAACUGAUGCCUAGGCUUUCUUAAGAAACUCCAUUACUCCUAGCUAUACUCAUGGUAGAAACAAAAGUUUAUACUCAAGAAAUUUCCUUUCCAUAGCUUCUGCACAUGUCAUCAUAACAUAGCUAUUUUCAGUUUGAAAGAUCCGCCAUAUUCUUUGUAUUACGUAAGUCUCACAUAACUUCAAAUCAUUUCAUAUAUCAUUUUAUAUUGUAUUUUUCAACUCAAGAGCUUCAUUGGAAAUAAAAUUAACAUAUAUGCUAGUGUUUCAACUUAAAUUUCUCACAUAACAAGCAAAAGUCCUGUUUCAGAAAGGAAGGCCAAACAAUUUUCUCCACAAAGUCUACUUCUUAAUUACUUUGUGAAUCCUGUGAUGCAGACUAUGUCCUAAAGAAACUUACGUGGCAAAAGAAAGUGAUCUUGGAAUAAGUCAAAAGAAAUCCAUUUUCACUCAUAUGCAACUGAAAUGAGUUGCAAUUCUCAUAUUAUAAACAAAUAGCUAACUUAAUAUGCAAAAAAAAAAAAUCUAUGACAAAGAAGCUGAAUUGCUUUCAACCAUUCAUGUCUUUGGAACAAUGGUUCUAGAAAGCUGAAGUCUCUACGUACCACUGGUUAUCUACAAAUUGACAUUUAGUGUAAUGCCAUCAUAACAGGCUAAACGACACUGUCAUGUAACCUUGCAUGACUUAUAAAUUACAAUUAGAUAUUAACUGAAGAAAGCUCAAAAGCAUGGGAUCUUGAGAAAGAAAGCAACAACAAGAAAAAGAUAGAGAAAGACUGCAUCUGAACAACAGCAAUAUUUAGAUGCCUGCAUUCUACUGAUCAAGCUUAUUCCCUUCCAUGAGACAUGCAAACUGUUCAUAGCAAGUCACUUGUAUCAUCGCAUGUUUAUGAAAAAUAGAUUUAUUCAUAGACAACUGAACUUAGCAGAAAGAAAAAGUAGCACCACCUUGUUAGCCUGAGAUUGCUGCACAACUGUUUCAAACUGCCCACGAGCCAAUUGAACAUACCCAAUCGCUCUUCCUGCGAGUCUCCCAGCCGUCCUAGCAAUAACUGGGAGAUCCUUUGGGCCUAAUUAUAUUGGAAGGCAAUAAUGAAGUUAACUAUACUGAUAAUAGUAAGAUCUACAAUUCAUUAAAUAAAAAUUUAAGAAAUUUAUUCUCAACAAGCUAAAGAAGGUAUACCGAUAAGGGCUGCUGUAGCCCCUAGAAUAAGAAAUAGCUCUCCGUAUGAAAUUCCAAACAUUAAACUACUGGAUUUUACACAGCAAACUGUUCCUGCAUUUAAACCAUGAAAUAUAAGAAUGCUCAAGGUACACUUCAUUGAAAUGAUGAGCUUUUAGUUAUAUAUCUGGCUUUGAAGCAAUCACUUGUAGAUGCAUAACCAGAGGACUCGUCUAUCAUGCUUAAGUAUCAUUUAUAUGUAUCAAUGUCAAAAAUUAGAAUAUAACCAUGAAUAAAGCAUCAGCAGAUCCAAAUAUCUCAAGGGAAAGGCAUGACAAUGCAAGAUCAUAAAACUUAGCUUCUUCUUGCUUUGUCAAUUGCUUACACUUCAACACGGGGAGACAUCAUUCAAAAUCUCAUAAAAAUGAAAUUUCUUUAACCAGAGUAAAUCAAACGAGGAUGCAGAAAACAUAUGAUAACUUCCACCAGUGAAAAACUACCCAUAUGUUUAAAUGAAAGGAAGUGGAGAGUACAGGUUGCCAAGCAACAUUUAAGGAACAUGGAAGAAGGGGAAUGAUGUUUGCAAUAAGUUGUACAAUGAAAAGGCUAAAGAAACUCUUCUUGUUCAAUUUAAUUAUCUGAAUUGGAAAAAUGCAGUCUGUGUGAAAGAUCACACAUGUAGAUCCGUUUCUUAACUAACAAACUGACCAUAUUAUCUUCGAAGAUCAGCAAACAGAAACAUGCCGAGUGAAGAACUUCCAUGGAAAUGUCACAAAAAUGCUCAAAGAAAGCCACUGACAUCUGCAAUCUAAAUGUUGAAAGCAAGAAGACUAGUGCGGCCAACAACAGCAGGGAAGAAAAGCGUUCAAGAACCAGAUGAUUGAAACAUAUGCAAUAUGUAUUUAGCAGGAGCGCAAAAAUCCCAAUUACAUACGGUGUCUCAUAGAUGCCCAAAGAAAGGCAAACUAUUUCAAGAAACUGACAAGUCCAUCACCGAUGGGAUCCAAAAACACACCAAGAUUUGCCAAAUCCAUCACCCCACACCGGCUGGGCCGGAGAACCAACGACGAAACAUCAAGAUGCCAAGAUAAUUUGUCCGAUAACGAUUAUAUAUCAAGAAAAUUCAUACUACCAAAAGCCCCCAAGAACCAAAACCGCUCACCAAGACGCUAAGAACAGAAGAACCGACGAUACCAAUCGGCGGAAAAGGAAUUUAAAAAAAAGAAAGCAAAAUAUUUCGAGAAGCUCACAAGUGGAUUGCCCAUGAGAUCCGAAAACGCACGUAGAUUUGCCGAAAUCCGUCACUUCCCGCCAGCUGGACUGGAGAAACAACGGGGAAACUUCAAGACGCAAUAGGAGAAUAAUCCCAAGAUAAAUCGGCUAGUCACGAUCAGAGAUCAAGAAAAUCCACGCAACAAGAAUCCCCAAGAACCAAAACCGAUCACGAAACGCUAAGAACAGAAGAACCCAUGACUACCAAUCGGCUAAAAAGGUACCAAAAAAAGAAAGCAAAAAAUAUUUCAAGGAGCUGCUGACGAGUGGAUCGUGCAUGCUAUCCGAAAACGCACCAAGAUUUGCCGAAAUCAAUCACUUCACGCCGGCUGGACCGGAGCAUCGAGGGGAAACUUCAAGAUGGAUCGGCCGGUGACAAUCAGCCAUCAAGAAGAUAGAUUCACACAGCAAGAACCCCCCCAACAACCCAAAACCGAUCACCAGUACGCCAAGAACACCGUAAUCGACGGGUACAAAUCGGCUAAAAACCCACCAAAAACAAAAGGAAGAAGAAAGCGUAUCGACCAGCACGAAGCGACGACGGAUCAAGAUUCGCUACCUUGAAAACGGCGACGAAGGCGACUCAGGAAGAACACCCCGCGCGCGCUAGGGUUUCCUUGCGCCACCUGCGAACGCCGAGACCACCGAGCCGGCGAACAAGAUGACCCGCAGUGGGUUCGUUGGGCCAAGGGUCAGGUGAGUAGACGUAUGGCCCAUCUGCAUUAUAUAGUAGAGUAAUAUGGGCCACAAUGGGCCUAAUGAGUCCUUGGACUUUAACACGAACCGGAAACGCCGAUCAAACGUGAUCACGACUUGCACGAGAUUUGAUGCAGAUAUCCUUAAUUCCUGUUUUAUCUAAAAGACUCCUUUUCUUUAUUUUUCUCUUCGAUAAUAAUUAUUUCUUUUAACAAAAUGAAAUAAAAGUGUGGUCAUAACACUGCGACACUUCAAUCUAACGUGCAUGUACUGCCAUGCACGUACAACGUGGCCGGAUUAGUCACGCAUCGGCCAACCUAUCUCGCUGGCUCCUGCCACACCUGUACUUGUUAUCCAACAGCUCGCUGUGGUCUGUCACAGAGUACAAUUCGUCGAUCCAACAUUAUUACAUGCAACUCUUCCUCCAUCUAAUUCACUUGUCCUCCAUUAUUAUCCUUACUUGCGCCACUCUCUCUCUCUCUCUCUCGAAAGAUCUACAUACAUCUGUGUGUAUUCGGACCCAUGCAAACCCUUGCUUAAUUAGAUGCAUGGAUAAGUGGGUGGAUCGAUUCAAUGCAUGCUGUCUGCUCAUCGAGUCAUUCACUCAAUGGUCUCUCUCACUCUCUCUCUCUAAUCAUAGACAAAGGCCUGUUAAGAUGGACAGCGUCACAUGGAUCGUCUAAUGAGACAUUAAAUUGUGGAACCUAAUGAGCAUGUGGAUAAAGACACCAUCCAACCAAUGGAAGCCAUACGAAUCCAUGAAAUGGUGGUGCUUAUCAAGAAAAAGAAUCAAAGUAGGGACCGUAGAUCUCAAGUCGAGGAUGGUUGGUGCGACUUAGCAAUCACAUAUUGACCAUUGUAAAGUACGAUGAGACUGCGGUCGUCCUCCUCCCUUGAAGCUCCAUAAGGCUAGGUUUUACUCGAGUGCAUGUCUUCUUAGCUCUUACCAUAUGAGACCAGUCACGUUCUAUUGAAACUGACACGCACACAUCAAGAAUGACAACGACGACGAUCGAUAUAUGGUUAACCACAUAUCAUCUCUUUUUGUUCUUGUGGAAAUUAGAACAGCCAUUAUUGCUCAACUGUGAUUACAGUGAGCUCCAUUAGAAUCUUGCAAUCACAGCCAAGUCAAGGACAUGGUUGUUGCCACGUCCUAAUCUUCCAACUUUUUGCUUGGACACUUGUAUAUGGGGAUGUAAACAUAGCUCGUUUGCAUAUUAAGUUCCUGGAAUAUUUUCCCUAUUUUACGGUGCCAAUUUCUCUAUACUGCAUUGUGAUCCAACACUUGUUGAGGAUGUCUCUAUUCAUGCACGAUUCUAUAAGGGUGUCUCUGUUCAUAGUCUAUGUAAUUAGUUCACGAUUAUAUUACAAGUGACUUAACGUAUUCUAAUGCAAUAUUAAUGCUAUUAGAUCGAAUUAGCCUCGCACUAAGAGACAAGCCCAAGGUUAAACAUAGCAUGGUCGUAAGAGGAGAGUCACAAUCGAGGGCCCUGCGACGGCUUGCCGUGAGCUGGAGGCCAAAGCUGUCGUGGGGCUCUCAUCCUAAUAAAGCAGAAUCCCACUCUUCCUUCUCUCUCAGCUAUAAAAGCAUCCCCCUCCGGAGAGACAUCUCACUGCUUCUGCCUAUUACCAGUAUUGGCAGGAGGAGGAGGAGGAGGAGGAGGAGAACAAUGGGACACACCACUAUCUUAUCUCUUGCCUUCUUUAUCCUCGCCCUCGUCGCAUUCGCCGGCGCACGCCCGGCCAAUUUCCUCCAAGACUUCCGCAUCACCUGGGCAGGAACUCACAUCAAGCAGCUGCAAGGCGGCAGUGCAAUUCAACUGAUGCUCGAUCCCUCCUCUGGUACUUCCUCUCACUACAGCACUGCGUUCUCGCUACAGUACUCAUAAGUUUUCCGUGGUCAACUCAGGUUGUGGGUUCGCUUCCAACAAGCAGUACCAUUACGGACGCGUUAGCAUGAAGAUUAAGCUCAUCCCCGGCGACUCCGCAGGAACUGUCACCGCUUUCUAUGUUCGUGUCUCGUGUUUAGUUUCGAUGGCAUGCAUUCUUCACGUCCGUAUGGUACACAAGCUUGAGACGAUGGUUGGGUUUUGCAGAUGAAUUCGGACACCGACGCCGUCCGCGACGAGCUGGACUUCGAGUUCUUAGGGAACAGGAGCGGUCAGCCAUACACGGUCCAAACCAACAUUUACGCUCACGGGAAGGGCGACCGGGAGCAGAGAGUUAAUCUCUGGUUCGACCCUGCGGCAGACUACCAUACCUACACUAUCCUCUGGAACCAUUUCCAUGUCGUGUGAGUUCGCCCGCCUCGUUCAUGCAUAUAUUCUCUGGCAUUCUCUCUGUGACGACGACCGAAUUCUGAUUGCUUCAUGGCACGUGCAGCUUCUCCGUCGAUGACGUGCCGAUUAGGGUGUACAAGAACAACGAAGGCAGAGGGAUACCGUACCCCAAGGUGCAGCCCAUGGGAGUGUACUCCACCCUGUGGGAGGGCGACGACUGGGCGACGCGAGGUGGGCUGGAGAAGAUCGACUGGAGCAAGGCGCCCUUCUACGCCUACUACAAGGACUUCGACAUCGAGGGCUGCGCCGUCCCCGGCCCGGCCAACUGCGCCUCCAACCCCAACAACUGGUGGGAGGGGUCGGCGUACCGGCAGCUGAGCCCGGAGCAGGCCAGGAAGUACCGGUGGGUGAGGGCCAACCACAUGAUCUACGACUACUGCACCGACAAGCCCCGGUACCCGGUCCCGCCGCCGGAAUGCUUCGCCGGCAUCUAAGAUAUAUAGCAGAGUGUGUGUGUGUGUGUGUUUGUGUUUGUGCCGAUCAGGUGAAAGGCAUCAUGCAAUAAGGUUCCAUUUGUGCUCGAGUCACACUGUUUAUCUUUACUCUGUCAUUGUAGCGUGAUUAUCUACUUAUGCAAUAAGGAAGAAUUGUAUUGGAUGUAAUUUACCGGAAUAAAUGAAGAACAGUUUUAUUGGAUGAGACGUGAUUCCAUCUUACUUUGUUGUCAUCAGAUUCGUCUCCGUCUCCAAUUAGGUGUAUCUUUUAUACUCUCUUAGAAAGUAAGAUUAGUCUUAAUUCAAUCUGUCUUCUCAUUCAUCAUUGUACAGUUCCAACAACAACAAUAAAGAUCUGUCUUUCUCUCAAAAAAGAGAUAGAUCGGGACAAAAAUAACUAAGAUUAAAUACACCUCUUCUUGAUUUCUGUCUUUCAAAACUUAAAAAUCAAUAAUUACUUAACUCAAAACUCGAACCCAAAAAAUUUAAAAUCUUUCUCUCAUUUUAUUUAGAAACCUUAUAGAUAUCACUCUUUCGAGAGAGAAACACCGUAAUACUUGAUUUAUCUUUUUUGUUAUAAUGACUCUAUAAAUUUUAGAAUAUUUAUCGAUCCCAAUAGAUCUAAAAAAUUAUAUUGAUAAGUUUUUUUACAAAAAUAAAUCAAAAUGAUAAUGAUAAUGGCAAUAAUUAAAAGCAAUAAUGAACCGUAAAUUUUGGCGUGGCCCGCCGGUGGACACACUUUGUCUUGUUCCGUAAGGAACAGUCUAAAUGUCUGAAGCAUGCUUGCAUAAAAAGCUGGAAGAAUCGACCACUGUCGAGGUUGGAUCAGAAGCAUCCAACAGGAGCGCUGCAGACCAAUGGUCACCAUGCAAGUACCUACGUGAUCUUUCCCCAUUGGACAGCAUGAAGAAAGCAUGUAUUAUUUUGCCUCGGAUUGAUUGUCAAGUUAAAGUUACUUAAUCGAAUGCUUGAGAUCGGGAAAUAGGAAUUAAGAUGACCUGCCGACAAGAUGAUGGAUAAAGACGGCGUCUUUCGAUCUGAACAUUAUCGAAUGCAGUCAAACAUUUCGACAAGCUAAUGUGCAUGGAAGAUGGCAUAGCAGAAGAAUCUAACUUCGAAGAGGCAUAGACGACAAAAUACAACCGAUAGCAUUACCGACGAUACGGUCAACACAGAUACAACACAAGAUGGGGGUGGACUUCCAGUGUUCCGAUGAAACCUUAAGAGCUCGCUCGUGGCACACAAUAUGCAUGGUUGCAGCUCAGGGACCGAAGCGAUACAGACCUUCGCUCAUGAAGUGGCCGUCCAUGUAGAGAGCAGCAGCAUUUGGGGCAUGGUACCCAUCCAUCAUGACGAACUGCAUGUCCUCUGAUGGUUUCCAGUGGCGUUUCCUUUGGUUUAUGAACCAGUUGUUGAUCUGCUUCAUGUCGAGUCCGGUGGAUUCCGCCAAUGCCGCCUUCUGCGCCUCCUGUUCAUGGUUAUACGAGCAGGUUCACCAUCGAUGUAGUGCUUUGGCUAGUUUUGAUGAUAGAGAGAAGAGUACUUACCGAGGGAUACGGCCAUUUAUAAUGCAACUCCCACCAGUUGAGCAGCUGCUGUCGAGCAUCCUUGGGAAGCUUCCCUUUCUUCUUUUUCUUGGAAAGCUCUUGUUUCAGGCUGCUCAGGUAUCCACCAUACUUCUUGAGGAGAUGGUGUUUCAGCUCUUGGUCCUCGGUGCAUGGAUCGAGCUCCAUGAUAUCCAUUUCUCCGCCGCUGCCUUCUUGGUUCUCUUCGACGGAGCAAACUCCAAACUUGUCAUCUAGCAUCAAAACAAGCAAAAAUGCAACCAUCCAUUUGUAAUUGUAGGCAUAACAAGACACUUCGCAUUCGCAGUCACCCUACCCGAAAUUAUAGUAUCGAUUAGGAUGGAUACAGCAUAAGAAAUAACCAGUAGAAACAAAUCACAUUCCGUCAAUCAUCCAUCAGCAAUACUCAUUCAAUUUUUUCAGUUCAUGUGCAAUGAGUGACACCAAAGUCUGAAAUUGAAAUAUGGAUCGACCACACUAAAACGCGAUACUUCAUGUCUCACCCUACCUAGAGAAAUAUAUUGGGCUUGUCUAUUACUCAUCCACAAGAUUAUGACAAAGAAAUUAGUACAAAAAACAAAUAAAUGCAGGACAAAUAAGAAAAGAUUGUUUCUAACAUCAUUGUGACAGGAACUCUAUCCUCUUUAGAAAAAUGACAAGUCAUGUGAGUUAGCAAAGAUCAAGUAAAAUCAUGUCAUUUUAUCGACAUGGGUGUUCUUUUGAAUUUACAACUCAAUAUUAUGAUAGCUGCAGUUGAAGUUCUAAUGAUAUCAUGAAUUAUCAAAAUCAAAAUUUCCAGUGGAACUAGAAUUUAAUAGUUUGUGCAUGUGAGAGGCUGCCAGAGAAUUUGAAAAGGAAUUCUCAACAUGACAGUCAUACAAGUUCGAUUCCGAGAAGUAUUCGCCAAAAAUUUCCAAUCAUGAUGAAGCUGAUCAAGCCUCAUUUUUCAGAUACCUAAUUUCAAUCAGAUUUUCAGUGAAGCAAACAGGCGUUUCAAGCCACUAAAAUCUCAUUUAAAUUUCAAAAAGAAAAAAAGGAAAAGAAAUAUUACAUGUUAACUAAUCAAGCACACUAAUCUACAUUAAUAUCAGCUUAAACAAAGGUGCAGAACUUUGAUCUUCUAUUGAAUAUGCAUUGCUGAGAUUGCUUAAGCAUAGCUAUCAUCCAUAGUAUGAGUUCACUCGGAUAACAUUUCCAUCUCAUGUCAGUGUCAGAACCAAUGGAUUAUCAGCACACAGCCAUCUAGAAAAUAGUUCCAUUCGGAUUUUCAUUACAUAUGUAAGAGAAAAAUGUUCUACUGUAGAUUAUGUAUAGAUCCACUAGAUGUUCUUGAGAACUCAAAACCUUGUUAGAUUUAUAGAAAUUUCACGUAAAAAUGCACACAAUUUAUAUACUUUGACCAAUUAAUAAUAUACAUCACACCCGGCAUGGCACCGCAGUGUGACAGAAGGAUUACGUGGGAGUUCUUGAGAGAAAUGGUAACAGCACUACAUCAAUCGUGAGACAUAGUUGCUACCUAGACUGACCACACCAGACAGAGACCGGGCACAAUAUUAGAUUCGAGCUCAGGAAAAUUGGGAGUGAUCCCUUGAUCGUUCUUGAGCUGAAGGGGAAUCAAGAUUUUGUCCAUGGAACCCUAAGAGAAAGCCCACGACAGCAUUCAAGAAGCUGUUCUUGUGGACUCCAAAUGCAUCUUUCGGUCGGGCUUCCUCGACUCCUCUCCAACUUUCUACUAGACUAUUAUGUCUUUAAGAAGCAUGCAAGUUAUGUGUGGAGGAAGAACGUGAGACGGCUACCAGCGUAGCAGCCUUGACGCAGAGCAGGAAAUGUGGGCACCUUAACUCUUCCAUCGAUUGGAUUAAUUAUACUGUUGUGCACAGUCAUGUGGAAGAAUAGAUAAUAGAGUAAAGGAAGAUAAAAAGACUGGAGACAGGCCAGAGGAGAUCUUUCAUUCAGACUUGCGGGAAAUAAGGGAUUCUCCUCGUAAAACCGCACGUACUUCGCCUCCUGACAUACGGCAGUGGCGCACCUCGGCAUUGCAGUGUUGAAAUCUACAGAAGACUGAAACCCUAAAACCAACUCUUUUCCCAUCUACUAUCUAUGUGGAGAAUGGUUUAUGAUGAGACAAUAUAGACUUAGUAUGUGAUUCCAUCUUGGAUUCUUAACCUGUCAUCUUUGCUUUUUCUGUAAUCUUCUUCUUCUUCCAAGGAAAGGUUUAAUCUGACUAUCGUUUUCAUCAGAAGGAAGGCUCAAUUACCAUUGGAUAUUAUGCGAAGGGAACCAGUGUUGUCCGAGAUGGAGUUGAGCUGAGACUCCAUUCUUCCAAGGAACUCCAUGGCCUCUUGCAGCGGCCUUGACAGCUCUUCUCUGUACUUGACGAGCAUAUCAUGGUACGCCUCCUGUCACAACUCGCCAAGCCAGAAAACAUACGUGACAUACUCGACAGAAAGAGACCAGCAAAUGUUCGGCUAUAAGCAAGGAAGAAGGUUAGAACCAUGAACUGGUCCAGCUCUGGGUCUGCUACCGCGUCGCGGCAGAUCAAACUCGCCCGCUGCCUCAUCUCAAACUCUUGGGCAACGGCCGAGAGCCGCGCAGCUACUUCAGGUGGCGCUCCCACCUGCAAACACGCAAGAGAAGUGUUAGCGGAAGGGAAGCUCGCGGUGAGAUAAAGCUCGGGCCAUCGAGAUGAUGAGUGCCUUUUGGCAUUCUAUGUAAGCAGAGACAAGGCUGGAGUACUGCGGAUGGGAGACGAUUUUAGCCUUGAUGGCGUCAACAUCGCCUUGUGGGAUUUGAGAAGUGGAAGCCACAUCGGGUUUUGCUUGGAGCAGGUUGGGGUUUUCGUGGUGGUCGCUGGGCAGAAAAGGGUUCGGAACGCAGUAUCUUCUAUCGAAGGCAGAAGCUGCUGUGGCAGUAGUUUGUUUGGCCGAUGAAGAAGGGGUGCACAUCAAGCCUCCCCAUGGAUUGCUUCCCAGCUGGGAGAACUCCUCCAUUCCAAGUAUCAGGCUUCCAAAAUGUUGGAAGAACUAAGAAGAAAAGCUAGAAAGUAGUACCCUAAGGGAGAUGAGAACACUGAGAACCUGGAAGAGGCCAAGGGAGGGAGAUGGGCUGGAAAGCAACACCGGGCGCACACAUGCACACACACACACACACACACACACAGAGGAAAGGUGAAUGCAAGUGUGGUGGUUUUCUUUUCGGACGUCAAAUCGUGCAGAUAGGGUUUAGCUUUGCAGUGGCGGUAGAAAGACUGGAGAUGCAAACUCAAACAUCAUGAGUUGAGUUACACUUUAUGGAUAAUGUUUUCCGUCCCCAGUAAUCCCCCCAAGAAACAUCUCCAUGAACUCGAUCAUAUAUCGACCCACAACACAGGUCUGUGAGAGACUCACGCAGAUCAACAAGGUUCUGCGAGAAGAACAGUAGAUGAUCCUUCAAUCAUAAAAAAAACACUCUAUUACAGUGGAAGCGUACAGCGACAGUGUGGAAACCAAACACACACCACAUGUUGAGAUGUGAUUGGAGCUCAUGGGCUGGUGGGGAUGCGUUGUCGAAGUACCGUGUGCUCUCUCUCACUCUCUCUCUGUGCAUGUUAUUAGCACUUCGAUCAGACCUGCAGAGAAGAGAGAGAGACCAAGAGGCAACACAUCUCUCUGUCUCUCUCUCUCUCUUUCUCCUGUCACACACAACCAUCCUGUUACUUGUUCUUUGUUGGGACGCGUGUUGUUACGUCCGCUGUAAAAUUGCCCUUUUCUCUGCCUUGGAAGUUGGAGAUGGAGGAGCUCAGUUGAACGAAAUCUCUUCUUCUCACAAAGUUAGCACUGAGACAGGUUAAUUAUUCUCUCCUCCUCCACCCGUACUACUAUUAUUUGACGUGACUUGUGCAGCUUACUAGUUUCAUUGCCAUUAACUCUUUAAUUGGCUGUGAACUAAAGGAAACAUCAGUUCAAGCGUUCAUGCAUCCCACCUAUCUCAGGGCUAGAGUUCUAAGACCUGUCUGUGUGCUUUGGUUGUGUUGUGUGCUUCCCACCGUCUCAUAACUCGGAACUUAGGUUAAGAAAAUAGUUGUCAGUCAGCAGAGGUAGGUGAUGAAGUAAGCCUAAAUGAGAUGAGAGGUAGGGAAUGAUAGGGAAUAAAGUAGACGGCAUGACGAUGGGAUAGAUGAAUAGUGGAUCAUAUAUAGUUGAUGUGUCUUUUGUUUACUACUUUCCCAUAGUCUUUUUAUUUUUGUCUGCUUAUGUAAAGUUUUGCAACGAAUCUUAUUUUUUUAAAUAUAUUUAUAUAUUUUAAAUAAAAAAACUAACUUUUUUAAAAUAAAAAAUAAUUAAUAUCAUUAAUAUCGAUUCUAAAUCGAGAUGAAAAAUAUAAAAAUUAUAUCAAUCUUAUGAAUAUAAAUAUUAAUUAAUAUAAAAAAUUAAAUAAUCGACAUCAAAUAAUUGAGACUUACGAAUUUAUUAUUCUUAUUGUAUUGUAGAAAUAAUAUAACUUUAAGUCAUUUGAAGAUAAAAUCAUAUAAAUUUGCCUAACAUCUUUGGAAAUUAGUUUUAGAAUGGGAUUUGAUAGUAGCUUGAAAUGAUAUUUAUUAGUAAUUUAACCACAUUAAAGGUUAUAAUUAUGCUAAGUUUGUUGUUUAUCAAUUAUUUUCUUAUUUCAUAAUUUGAAACCUUAAUAAUUAUUCUAUAUGAUUGCAUAAAAUUUUUAAUAAAUUUUGAAUUUUUAAAUCCUUUAGUUAGACUAUUUUUAAAUGGGAUUACAUUAUUUUUCAAUAAGAGGUUAAUAAAUAAUGUAAUCUGACUCAAGUCAUUUGAGGUUAACAUUAUCUAAAUUCAUCUUAAAUUGUUGAAAAUUAGUUGUGAAGUGAGAUUUGACAGUAUUGAAAUUUUUUGAAGAUCCAAAUGAUAUAUAUAUAUAUAUAUAAUCAUAUUAAAAUUAAAUUUAUACUCAAUUUGAUUUUUUUCAUCGAGUAGUCCUUUAUAAGCGGGUCCCAUAAGAACUCCAUUGCUGGAGGCACUCAUGACAAUGGUAAACAAGCGGGUUGGUGAUGAGCAGGUUGACAAGUAUUUGUUUGGGGCCCACCCAACGGGCCCUUACGAGCGCGAAGCACGUGCAGGAGUUUCUCUUUAGCACGAGCUGUUAUCCCGAGUGAAUUCAUACACCAAAGGAAAGGAAAAGGUUGGGGAAGAAGAAAAACCUCCUCCUCGUUGCUCAUUCAAUCGCGAAGGAUGUUGUCGAUACGCUUCGCGUCGCUUCGAGUCUCGGCGCUUCCGUCGGGGAGAUGGAAGAAGAAGAGGAGCGGGGGGAUCGUCCCGGCCAUUCUCGAGGCCAAUCGAAUGGUUCGCCUGGUCGCCCCUUGGCCAAUCCCCUUUUCCGCCAGCCAAGACUCUGCUCCGGUAUGCCAAAGGAGCCUUAUCCAGACAAACUGAGAAAACUUUCGUAAAUUCGAUGGGGUUUUUACUUUGUUUCUUCCUUUCCUUCUUUUUCCUUUUGCAGCUGGAUUACGAUCCGUCAAGGGAGCUGCUAGGGAUCGAUGUCGACCCGCAGCCAAGGUUCGACUGUAUUCUCUCUAGCUUUGCUGCUUUUCUUAAUUUUCUUGCGUGUUGAAUGAUUAAAAAAUUCGAUUUUUGAUAAAGUGAUGUGCGAUGAAAUGGAAAUCCUGUUGAACAGAAUAAUCAUCAUUGUAUGUGGUUAGUGGAAAUGUCCUCUUCGCGAGUGGUUUCGACUAAGCAUUUAUAUCAACAGUACGAAGAAUUUCCAAAUGAUGAUGCUUAAUACUCUUUACAAGGUUUAACGACUGUCCGGGAAAUGAAUGUGAUGCAGAACUGGGUGAACAUAAAAGUGUUCCGAUAAUGACGUAAUUGGGUAUUUUAACUUUGACAUUUGCUUCGCAUUUUAUGCAACCUAAGUACUGCAAAGCUGUAAUGAAAUAAUCAUGUUGUUAUGUGCAGAAAGUUUUUUGAUGAAAUUUCUUCAUCCUCCUAAGUUACUUAUUAGUCAUUAUAUUAUGUCUCAUGCUGAUAGAAGUUUCUUCAGGAGUGUCCAUUCUGGUGCACAAAAGCUAAGAUCCUGGUUUGGUCCAAAUGGCCAGUACAUCCGAGAGUUACCUUGUCCUAGUUGCAGGGGACGGGGUUAUACGCCAUGCACGGAAUGUGAUAUAGAGAGAUCAAGUUCAGGUUGCUCCCAGUGCAAUGGAAAGGUGUCUGCUCUUACUUGUUCCUUGCGUUGUGAGUUCUUUUGUUAACAUUAAAUCACUUCAAAUUGUAUGCACACUGCAGUAUUAAGUCUUAUUAAAUAUGAUCCAUAUACACACCAGCACCGUACGAUCGAUGUGCAGUAUUACGUACACUGACACAUCGAUCUAUUCUAUUAUCCACAGAGUCCAAAGUCCUUUGUUUAAACUAGUUUAAAAACUUUAAGAAUGUUGUGAUAUAGUUCGAUGGAACACAUUUCAGUUGCUAUAUGGAGACUUUUCCUGAUCUCACAUCUUCACAUUCUCCCUGACUUAAAGAGUCUCUCCAAAAGCUGUUCCUUUCCAUGCUGAUAGUGGUUGUAUAGGCACAUAUUAUGUACAUAGGUUUACUAUUUUCUGAUGGACAUGAGUUUUUUGAAAGCCAAUCUAGAUGUCACAAGCACUGACAGUAUUUUAGAUGACAACAGGGUAUUAGAAUCUGCCGACAGUGCUUUGGAGAUUGUGUUAUAUGGGAAGAGUCGAUUGAUGAGCGACCAUGGGAAAGAGCUCGAUCUAGGUAAGUCUCCAAGUUAUACCACUUAAUUUUGCCCAUGAAAUAUGUUUAUUUAAAUCAUUUUGUUGGUUUUUGCCAGUAGUUAGAUAUAUGUUGGAAGUUAUGGCGUUUAAGGCUCAUAUGUAACCAUAGGUGUGAAGGGGCUGCUAAAGAUUAGAAGUUCAUUAAAUAGAUACUUCAAAUGGACAUGAAUAUUUAAGGUUGUACAUGGUGGGGCUAUUCUAUAUUUGGUAUAUCUUGUGUGACUGUUGAUUUAGUGGUCUUACAACUGAACUUACAAGGUGCUCCGAACCAGUCUACGUUUGGUAGGUUAGUCAAGUGCAUUUCAAAGUGUACAACCUUGCAUCUGAAUCUGUGCAAUCUGUAAUAAUUUCUAUACUCUCCUUGAGUUUUCCAGUGGGGCUUGUCGCACAUUCUUGAUCUGUGUGGAAUUUAAUGUGCUCUUUUCUCAUAAGUUUAUCAACAAUCUAAUGGCAGUAAGUCUCUUACCUCUGUACGAGCAAACCAUUCUGAACCAUGCAUAUCUUAAUUGCAGCUCUCCUCUGAAAGUGAAGGAAGACGAUGAAGUUGACAAACUGGAUAUAAAGGUUGAUGUGUCCAGAAAAUCAAAGCGUACAUACCAAUCGCCAUCACCUGAAGUCAGCUUAAAGAUUAGCAGAUCAUUACGAGUUAGAUUCCCUUCUUAUGUUUAGUGCAGUGAUACUUAACUGCAUACAUACCAAUCGCUGCACCUGAAGUCAGCUUAAAGAUAAGCAGAUCAUUAUGAGUUAGAUUCCUUUCUUAUAUUUAGUGCUGUGGUAGUUAACCUAUCUUAUUUUGGAAAUUAACUUCCAUUUUGGUGUAACAUGGUCUUCACGUGACUCAUUUUAAAGGUUCUGCAUGUGCAAGCUUAUAAUUUCUUUAUGACCUGCAGUUUAUUAUGUUAUGUAAACAACCAAUCCUUGUAGUUUUAGAGUUACGCUCUUUCUGCUGCACUGUAAGUCUAGAUGUUUAUAGCUGCCCAGUUUUGCUAGAGCUUUGACUCGCUUCUUAUCUGUUUAUAUAUAUUGUAAUGUGUUAAAAUGCAAUAAUAGCUUUGUCAAGUUUGAAAAGGCAAGAAGAUAACAGACACUCAUUUCCAUUUCCAAAGAAUGAGGAAAAUAAAGACCUCUUAACAUGGAUAAUGUUUGUAAGGAGAAAUGCUUUUUCCACCCACUUUGUCAAAUAUUCAUCCUCUUGAUGUGAACAAGUAUCCUUCCCAACACUAUCCGACCCCUAUAAUGUUGACAACUUAUUUUCUUAAUACUGUUUCUUAUUAUUUUCUUAAUAAUGUUUCAUCAAUUAAUUAUGUGACAGUUGAUGAAUUUUCUUUCCUUGGACUAGCUAACAUUUAUUAUAUCCCUGGUUGAGCUACUUGGAUUGUUGUGUUUUUCGAGCUUUGAUGCAUGUGUUUCUUGUAAGCUUCAAUCCUCCUCUAGCUGUUGGUAUUGGAAUUUCUGUUAGUUAGGGUGCAGACACUUAUUUAGACAUGCAUGCUUUCUAAAUUUGAAUUGUCCAGUAAAGAUUAACAGUGAUCAAUGUGGAAAGGAACCACAUUGACGACCACAAAUAGUUGAGAACAAAAUAUCGGCAGCACAAAAGUUAUGAAAUUGAUGACCUAUUUAGGCUUACUAUAAACAUCUAGAUUUAGGGGCCUUUUUCAAAGAAGGAUCGAUGUUUGAGCAUGCUUAUUUUGACUAACUUGUGCUUGUUGCUUACCAUUUUCCAAUAUCCUAUGGUUGCAGAGCCUUAAUGCUAAAACAGGACUAUUUAGUAAUCGCAUGAAGAUUAUACAUCAAGAUCCUAUACUACGAGCUCAAAGGAUUGCUGCAAUUAAGGUAAUAGCUUAGGAUUGCCGCAAUUAAUGUAAUAGCUUGAAGUGUCACGUGAGACUUAUUCUAAAAGUAUGUGUGUUACAGUAAUGUUACCUGGGAUACCAUAUUCAUUUCCUUAUACAAUAAACAUGCUGAUUUUUCAGAAAACAAAAGGAACUCCUGAAGCACGGGAGCGGGCUUCUGAAGCAUCGAAAGCCUUCUUCCGUGAUCCGGAGAAUCGCCUCAAGAGAAGCAUAGCUAUGAAAGGUUCGUCCCCACAACAUAAAUCAUUCUAGAUCAAGCUUUCAUAAGUUUGUUUUACUGGUUAUGAGAUCUUAGUCGAAGCAACUUAAAUCCGGAAAUAGUACCAGAUCGUGUAGUCUCUCCCAUAUUUUCAUACCCUAUGAUAAAUCCUGUACCACUAAUCCACUUACAAGGUUUUGUUGAGAAGUGUGCUAGAAAUUGUGGGAUCUGAUGAUGGGUGUUCCAGUCACAAUGGCCUACUACAUGAACAGAUGGGACCUUGUCAACUCUAAACUCAAACUGCCUUUUGGCUGGUACUGCAUAAACCCCCUUAGAUCUCAACUCCUGUGUUCCAUACAAAAUGGUAAUGAUUUAGUGCCAUCUCCAACAAUAAUAAUUGGAAAGGAGCAACAAUAAUCAGGAUUUACUGGUAUAAAAUUACGAGUAAUAGCGAGAUAAGUGGGAAAUGGGGGUUGGAACUUGCAGUCUAGUGUAGGUUCCAGAUGACACUAGAAUAAGUGAUGGGGUGAAGAGGAAAGAUAAUAUGAUAAAAUAAAAGCUUAUUACAUGCAUGUUCUUGAUGCAGCAGCAGCUUUUGGGCACCAUAGACUACCUUACCACAACACUGGUGCAUCAAAAGUCAGAUCAGGGCAAGAAAAUGUUUAUUAAAUUGUUUGUUUCGGAGCAGCUCUCCCUAAAAACAUUCCAAUUUUAGGAGCUGAUUAGUACUAUUUUCAUUAUCUCGGAAAUUGCUAAUUUGUGACACAGACAACUAGAGGAAAGAGCGAGCAGUGGGCAAAACUUGAACAAACCUUUACUUCCAAAUUUGUUCAGAAAUUGCUGCAAUAAGAGUCCUUCCUAUGGAUUCUUUCUUAGCUUUAUGAACCUAUCAUAUGAUGUUUUGUUGAAUGUUUCCUUUAUGUUCCACAGGAGUAAAAUUUUACUGCAGCAUCUGUGGGGAGGAAGGGCAUCGGAGACACUACUGCUCAACUCUAAGGGAGACUUCUGCUCCGAUACGUUUCAGAUGUCGCAAAUGUGGGAAAUUGGGGCACAAUCGACGGACUUGUGGCAAAUCGAAAUCAGACAGAAAACCACAAAAAGGGAGCCAGAGUGCGUCGCGCCAUUGCAGUUUGUGUGGCCAAAACGGGCAUAAUCGUAGAACGUGCACCGAAUUGAAUCAGCCAGGAUUAGGCAACUCAUCAUGCACUGAAACCCCACUGAUUUCUGUCACCAAAAGAACUUACUCAUGCAGGUUGUGUUUGGAAAAAGGGCACAAUAGCAGGUCAUGCUCGAAAAGAGAGGCCAUUUAGGAGGCGCAUUGCUUGCAGUCUGUGCCAUUCAAGUUUCUUGCUACCUUCCAAUUGAGAAACCGUAAGUUUCCUCGUUUCUCUGCUCAACCAUCAUUAAGAUCACUCUCACAUUGCAAAGCUUACAUGCUUUUCUAAUAUCCCAAUUAGUAGCUCAGCAUCAUCUCACCUAUUGUUGUUGCCUUCUCCAACACAGGCACAAUGCUUGAUGGAAUCGAGCUAUCGAACAUCAACAUGACUUGGACGUGUCAAUGCUGCCCACCACUUGUAUAAACGUUGGAGGAGUAAAUGUUUAGUAGCGGAGUUGGUGCUACAUGCUUUAUGCUAACAUGGGAUUAGUUGAUCACCACCUACUAAAUGCUGGCGUUGGAGAGUCUUCGUCCAAAUUUUACACAGGUCUCAAUCCUUACCUUAUCAAGUUUAGCACAUAAAGGAUUAUGAAUCCGAACCAUGUAACAGCAUAAGAAUAAUAGAGAACAAGAAACAUGAUCUAAAGCCCAAAUUUGCGCUCUAUGAUGGCAGUGUUCAUCUUUUAUUACCAUGAAGUCGAGACGAAUGUGUUGGGGAGAAGAACGAAGGUGAAAUGGAUUGAUUGCGGCGUUACGGAGGCGCCGGAGAAGGUGCAGAAUGAGUGCGCGUCGGAGCUUCAUUGGGACGCCUUUCUGGCCAUCUUCAAUUCAGCUUCGUGUUGGUUUCGUCGCCUCCGCCGCUCCUUCUCACGUAUGGAGUUCUGCUUCUCGAGCUUCCAAUUUGCAUGGAACUGAGCGAUGAAGAGGUCCGCCUUGUUGUUCACGUCGGGGCUCGGGCAGAACACCGACACCCCGUCCCUUGAUUCUCUUUGCCGAAACCUCACCGUCUCUCCCCUAAGGGGAGAGGAAGGCGGGGACGGGUACUUUGAAAGGCUGGACUUUUCUGGUCGUCUCGAAGAUGAAGGCAGGGGAGGCGGUGGCGGUGGCGGUGGGGGAGGGGGAGGGUGUAAAACUUGCUUCCUAUGGUGUUGUGUUAGCGCGGGUGGUAGUGGAGGCGGUGGCGGUGGUGGAGAAGUUGCUGGGACUGAGUGGAUCCUCCCGUUCUUGCCUCCCAGUUUCUUGCGGGAGAAAAGCUGGUUGAAGAACGCAGAAGGCAGCGGAGGGGGUGGAGGUGGCGGCGGAGGAGCGGAAGAAGCCACGACUUCGUAUUGCAGGGUUGUAUCAUUGGGAGACCUCUUCGUCUUGCUCCCUCUCUUCUUCUUCUGAUAGGACAAAGCGACAGUUGUCUCGAUGUCCUUCGCCCCAGCAGUGCUCCACUUAUUAUGACUAAUUAUCUCCUCCGGCGGCAGCGACCGUACCGGCUGAGGUGGUGGGGGUGGCGCUGGCGGUGGUGUCUGAGGCUUCUCGAGUGGGAAGUCAGGAUCUUGGUCCACCUCCCAUUUUGGAAUAUUCCCGACGCUCCCUCUCCGACGCUGCGAGGUUUCCGACGCUGGUAACGACAGGUGAGACUUCAUCGCGAACUCUGCAAUCUGUCUCAUUUCCCCGGCCGGAAACUUCUCCAUGGUCUUCCUCCUGCUCGGCUGGGGCGGCAUCGGUGGCGGCGGCGGUAACGACCGUGGAUGAAGAUUCUCCGAACUAAAGAUCUCAUCUUUGUCCACUUCCUUGUCCUCUUGUAACUUAUCGACGUCGUUCCUCCUCCCAGGCUGGCGCUGCGACGGAGGCGGUGACUGUGGAUGGGGCUUUUCUGAUCGAAAGAUCUCAGCCUUGUCCGCCUCCCUUCCUGGAAGCCCAUCUACCGCUCUCUUCCCCGGACGCCGCCGCGGUGGUGGCGACGGCGGACUCGGCGGAGAUCUAGAUCUUGUAGAGGAGCUCUGUCGAAGAACGAACGUGACCACCGGAAUCGUCUUCGGGUCCAGAUACCCAAACCUCUGCCUCUCGCACCCCUCCGACUCUGACCUCCGGCGACAAAGAUGGGCAUCAUCGUAGCAACGCCACCCAUCAUUGGAGGCGGCGCCAAAUGUCGCUACUUCCGCCCUCAGAUCGCCGUAGGAGCUGCUGCUCCGCAUCACACGAAUACCCACCGUGGGGGCGGCCUCCUGAAGAGACUUCUCAGCGUCGUCGUCGCCGCCAGAGCGGCGGCCGAGGAGGCCGCAGAGAAUGGCGAAGAGGACGAGAAGUAGGUUGAGGGUAUCCCAUCCGUUCCUUACCACAAUGAUCCGGGAGCCACGGAACGAGGAAGAGAGGGAGCGAGGAGGGAGGAAUAGGAGCACCAACACGGAGAAGAGCAGAACAAGAACAACCCAUACCCGAAUUCCAGCAACAGCAGCAGAAGCUUCUCUUUCCCUUACCAUUUGGGAGCGAGGAAGGACAAAAAGAUAAGCCUUUUGCUUUCUUCUCUUUCUCUUACCUCCUCUGCUGCUUUUAUACACGUGAGAGGUUGGGAUGAUGUGGUUCUUUAACUUGAAAGCAAAUUACCCGACGAUUGUGGGAAAUAUAAUAUACCAUCAGCUUUUUCAUCCUGCAAGCAGAUUCUUUUUGGAUCCAUCUAUCAGCUUAAAGCUUGUAAGCUUUGACUUGACGUGUGCUUUGGAGUUGCAGGAAAUGAGAGAGAGAAGUGAUGACGCUACCGUGGUCGUUCUUAAGCUUUCCCCCUUGCUUGCUUCUGCUGGAUUCCAGAGGGAAGUCGACAUACUUUGUUCUCGUACUUUUGCUUUGUCGUCCACGGGAAAGCAGGCAACGCCUUCGACCACACCGGUGAUCGCAGUCAUGGCGUGACUUAGCUCAAAAGAAACAGCUCUUAGGGGAGAUGCGAUUUAGCUCGAGUUUAUUGUUGUGAGAGAGGAGACCAUUCACUGACUCUGAUGAAUGCUUGGGGGAUGGCUGUUUUAGGCUGUGCGAGAAAGCUUGCACGAGAGGAAUAGUAAAAGAUCGCAGUCGAAGGGAACAGAGAGAGAGAGAGAGAGAAGAAAUGGGGCCGGAGUUGGAGGUGUGCCUGACCUGCACAGCACUGUGAAGCUGUGGUCAUAACUUCUACUAAUCAUUGACGAAAGAAUUCAUUUUAUUGGAUUCAUUUGGUAUACACUGACUUUCGAACUAAUUAUUUACAAAUAUUUUUUUCCUAAUGCUUAGAUAUAAUUAAGGAUAAAUAUCUAAAAAAAUUUUGUUUUUAUUUUUUUUUUCAUGCAGUGUCUCUUAUUUUCUAAAAACAAGAUUACCCUAGUCUUCAUCUCGCUUGUUGUCGCCUUUAUCCCGUCAGCUCGUUAUUGUGUCUGUAUUUAUUAGAACUCUCCUGGUUGUAAAAUUAUUGUAUCGAUUGCCAAUGGUUGAAAUUGCACACUUGUAAAAUUACCCUAGUCUUCAUGUAGUGCUUUUAUUGUCUUCGUCCUAUCGUCGUGCCCCUGUCUACUAGGACUCUAUCUACUUUAGCCCUUUGAUUAGGGGAGCUAUAAUAACUCAGAGGAGGCAUGGGCAAUGCUUGACGCAAUGGAUCAUGCAAGGGAGGGAAAGUUUAAUCAUAGUAGCCCCGUUCCCUUUUGAUAAGGUCGACGACAAAGAUGAUAGGGUGAAGGCAAAGUUUUAGCAAUGCUUCAACAACUAUGAAGGACGACAAGAGUAGCAAAUAAGAAUGAUGACAUAAUCGAUCGUUGACAUCGAGACGGAGGUCAACGGGACGAAGCCUAGGGGUAAUCUUUUCUUUAAGUAAAUUAUAGGCAUUGUACAAGAAUAAAACAAAAUCAGGUAAUCUACUGGAAAUUUAUUUUUUUGAAGUUUUUUCUUUUGAAAUUUGCCCUAUAAUUUAUUAUGUAUAAAGGUAUAUUUAUACCUAGUAGUACAAGAUUACAUAUCCUUGCCCAACACUAGUCCUUCUAACCUGACCGACGACCUUAUAGUACGUAGUUUAUUAGCUAAAUGUGAUAGUAAUCACAUCAAAUACUUGUGUAGAUCUUCAUAAUUGUUGACACACAGCGAGUCAAAUUAUAUAGUGAUAUCAUGUCUUAAAUUUUGUGCCAUAAGAUAUUCAAAUUCAGAUUUAAUUUGCAAUUUAACUUACAAAACAUAGCAUACAUUAUCUCAUAUCAUAAAUCUUGUACCGUACUACUACUGUCUUCUUGUAUCGAAUGAUAAGUAGCUAUUAGUUCGAUUAGGAAAUCAAGUAAAUGGGGCUGAUAAAUGUAUAACAAGCAUUUAAAGUGUAUCAGCGUCCGACCUCCAUAUAUCAUAAAUUUCAUCAAUUUCACUAAGACCGGUGACGAGUGAUGAAGUGGACGAUGUUUUGGUUAGCUCGACAUGGUUCAGAUAUGUAUGUGCAAGGUUGUUCAAGGUGCAUCUAAGAUGAAAACUUCGAGCUCCCAAGGUACCACCUACAUGAAGACUGAGGUGAGGAGAAAUUUCUCAACUUGAUCCCCCUAACGCCCAAGUUAAUAACUCAUGGUGUAUGAGUGCGGAGGCAAGUAGUCAAAAAAGGCAAAGCUCCUUUUCAUUGUGUUGGAGAUGAGCUUUUAUACCUGAUCAUAAAUUGAUAGAAUAUUUGAUGAAAUAUUCUAGAGGGAGGUAACGUUUAACCACCUCCAAUAGUCUCCUCUUGACCUCUUGUCCAUGUGGUCGAUGGGGGGAUUGCAACCCAUAAUUGUCGCUUGCCCACGUGGAUAGACGAGUGGAAGGUGACAUUGUCUUCUCCUUCUAUCCUGGACACUACAUAAUAUUUAUGUAUUAGAUGACGAUUAGCUGACGAUAUAAUCCCUAUCAUUUGUCUCACCACCCAAAGGCAUGGUUUGGGGCUCUUGCUAGAGGGGUCCAACGUGCUGUCAUGGGCAAAAUUGUAAAUGAGAUUUUCGACGUAAUGCUAUGUAUGUCCGUGUCUUUUGGUUUGUUCAUACUUUGCAUAGCAUGCAAAGGGCUGGCAGUAGGCUUAGCAGCCUCAUUUUCUUUCGAUAUAUAGUGGACCAUUUUGGAUCAUUUGUUAUGCGACCGUUCAGAGCUUAUGAAGUUUGUUUGUAGUUUGUAUUGAUUAUGAAGUAUUUCCUGAAAUGAUUACUUGUGGAUCCCGAGUGAGAUAUUUUCUCUAACCCGUUUUCUCUUUUAUAGAUCCUAAGGGACCAUAGGAGGUUUCAAGGAGGUUGACCUUUACAGACGGACACGCAAGGGUGCCGCAUGACUUAUACAAAACCAGCUAAGUCUGUGAUAAUGCGACGUCUAAUUCAUCUGACAUAUCAAACUCAUACCUCUUCGAUCCAUUACCAACCUUGUGGCAUGUUUAGUUUGUCCAGUAUGUUUACUCUAUCGUGCACCUCACAUCAUUUGAAAUGAGUUCAUUUGGCAUGUUCAUCCAGGAUCACCUCCUCCUAUGUUGCUAAUGGCAAUCCAUUAUUAACUUGCUCCUUGUAUCAUCGAGGGAUGCACAUUGGUUGAACAAAGUCGAGUUUUUCAACCUCCAUGCCUUAGGGAGAGGAGGGGGUCGAACUUCUUGACCUUCACACCUUGAGCACAUUUUGUUUUGUGCUUGCCAUGAUAACGAGUUCAUUUUGUGCGGGUUAGGAUUUCCCGACUCAUGCACCUUGGGUAUAUUUUGUCUUAUGCCUCCUGAUGUGGUAGGUUUCUUCGAACGCAGGUCGGGCUUUCCCAACUCAUGCUUUUCGAGUACAUUUUGUCUUGUACCUCCUGCCAUAGAGGUUUAUUCGGACAUGAGACGAGCAAGUGGCUCAGGAUCAUCCCAAGAGGUGAGAGGCCCGGGUUGUUGAAUAAAUGCUAGUAUUGCAUUGAUGUUUUCAUGUCGAGGUGGAUGCAUUCAUGUGCGGAAAGGGUGACUGUUGCCUCUCUUGAGUGAAAGUACUAUGAUUUUAGGGUAAAGUUACCUUACUCGAGCAUUCAUUUAGAUGGUCAGUGGGUCGACGUUCCUAUGAUAUUAUGCACUUCUUCUAGUAUCAAAAUGAUGAGGGAAGAAGUCGUUGACAUCUUGGUCAACUUGACGUGAUGUAAACCUAUAUGUGUAGGGUUGUUUGAUGUGCUUCUAAGAAAGAAACAUCAAACUCCUAAGGUGUCACUUAUAUGAAGUCCAAGGUCAAGAGAGAUUUUUCAACAUGAUUUCUUUGAUGCUCAAGUUAGUAAUCCGAGGUGUAUAAGUGCGUAUGUGAGUAGUCAAAAAAGAUAAGCCCCCUUUUCAUUGUGUAGAAGAUAAGCUUUUAUACCUAGCUAUAAAGGGAUAUGAAAUAUUGUGUGACCUCCGAUAACUUUUCAUUGACCUCUUAUCCACGUUAUUGAUAAGGGAGAGAUAACUCAUAACCAUCUUUCUUAAACCUUUGCUCACAUGGACAACGAAUGGAAUGUAACAUUAUAUUUUCCUUCCACCCCAGACAUCAUGUGGAUUGUGUGGAAUGAUUAUUAAUCGAUGAUUUACUUCCAAUCAAUUAAAAUACUUGUGAACUCUUAGAUGGGAUCGGAGAGGAUUGUGUCAAAGAAUAAAAGCGGAGAUCUAACCCAAUGAAAUUACACGUGACAGUGGAAAUUGUAAUGAAAAAUUUCAUGUGAAGUGUACUAUCGAAUUCUGGUCAAAGUCAACAACGCCGAUGAAUUCCUUCCUACAUCCACGGAGACAACGGCCGUGAGCGACUUGGGUAACGACCCAAGACGCGGCUCGCUCGCCGGCACCGCCCACGUGGUCGUAAUUACGUGUGUCACACCAGCAAAUCGAGGGUUAGAAUGCCAUUGACCGACUUAAGUCUUGACGACGCAGCAGCAGUCGAAGCAUCCACCGAUCACAUCCUUCCGACGUGGGUUCCAUGGCGGUCGGUCGUGCGUCGGUCUCCUCUUCUUCCUCCGGGGGUCAAAUACCGUUUGCUAGCUACUCCGACUGCCAUGAACCGAGGGGCUCCACAUCACGCUCGCCCACCGUUUGGUUCCUUCUCUCUCUCUCUCUCUCACAGUCUCUUGCAUUUAGUGUUGUCCUUCUUUGAUGCAGCUAACAUUGCAGCUUUUAAUGAAAGCAUUAAAUGCGUUCAACUCAUCCAUAACAUAGUUCUAAACAAGGUUUCUGUUGGUGCACAUGCAUCCUCUACUUAUAUUAAUCACAUUAUCCCACUGCUUAAUCUUUCUUCAGUACAACACUCCCGAAAGCUGCAAUAAAGAACUCUCUGGCGAUGGGGUGAGUCUGAUCUUUGGAUUCAGAAACCAGCAUGCGCGCACUGUAAAACCCAUCGGAAAACACUGUAAAACAAGCGACUACCAAACACCAAAACCAUCGACUGCUUCGCUUAUACAUAGGCAUCCCCAUCCCCAGCUUGAUUCAGUCUUCUGCCAACCUUCUUUCUGCUCUUCCAAGUUAGCUAAGGAGAAGAAAAGAGACAUGAGCACGGUCACUCGUGCAGCUCUGGAUCAGAAGCUGGCCAUGGCCAAGCUCUGUUCCCACGGUAUCUAUAUUGUUACCAUUGCUAUUGCUUGAUCAACAACAAAGAUAAAGAAGACCAUUACGCUUCUUGCAAGCCCGCCUGACAUAUGGUUGUUGUUUGUCAUCUUCCUUGGAAUAACUGGCAGAGGGAGUGGUUGCCGGAGCGAAGGCCGCCGUCGUCGCAACUGUGGCAGCUGCCAUCCCCACUGUAAGCCUCCUCUUCUCUACUUCAUGUUCGACUGUGUUCGGCCAUCGGUCGAUGAACUCGGCUUCAUACAUCGUAGUUGGCUAGCUUUAAGAUUCUCCCAUGGGCGAGAUCCAACCUUAAUCCCACUGCCCAAGCCCUCAUCAUCUCCACAGGUUCUCGACACACUGCCUCUAGUUUGGAUGCUUUCUUCUUGCUGUUUUGCCUAUGGCUAAACUGCAGUCGCAGGAGCUGCCUACUUCAUAGUUGCGGACAAGACGGUGUUGGCAUCAGCCAGGAAGAACUCCUUCGAGGGAGGCAACAUUAACGUGCCCAAGAACCCAUAAUUUGGGAGAGUGUCACCACAUGUUAUUGGUAAAUAGUGAAUCGAUGCCUGUUAAUGGCAGUUCUCUGCCCAUCAGCACUUCAUUUGCAGCAGUGUUCAUAAACACGCCUGCAUCAAAACUAUUCACACUUGUCCAAUCUUGUAUCCUGCACUCGGGACACAUUCUGCAAGCAAUGCAUAUUAUUUUGUGUGACAUCGAUCGAUAAUAGUUGCUCAUGACACUCAAGUACACGUAUGCUUCCAACUAUGUGCAAGAAAAAUUCAAGAUACCUUGAAACCACUUUGUACAGACUCUGCACCAUAAAAUACUAUACGUACAUUCGCAGUAUGCUAAUUGACUUCAGCUACAAAUUUCCCACGCCACUAUACAUGAUAGAAGUCGUUUGCUGGUAGGCCAGUGUUGAUUGUCUCCUAUAAUGAGAGGUUUGUUCCAAUGUCUAUAUAUCCAAUCCGAGGAGCAACAGUGUAAAGUCCCGUUCAAUCUUGGAUGAUGUUGAAGGAGAACUUUGACAGUAAUUGUGGUAUACCAGAUAUAAUCGGGCCAUAUGUCUGCAAAAUUGUGGAAAGAAGAAUCACUGACCAAUAUCACUCGGCACCCAAAUUUUCCAGUGCGUGCAAAAUUUGCAGAAUAGAAUGUUUUCUUCAUACCUCGCUAUUGUCAUGUAAUUGGCACAACGGGACGGCAAGCAGCUUCAGGUUUCUUGGUACGAUAAAAUGCCGUGUCAUUGGCAGCUUAACCAGGAAAAGCUUUGUGCAUUCCUGUAGAGGGAAAGAACCACAAAACAAAAGUAAUAAACAUGGUUUAUAUACAACAGAGCAACAUGAGAUGGUGCACACCUUCGGUCGACGCAAAUUAGGAGGCAAAUAUGGGAACCGUAACGUUUCAAAGUCUGACCUCCACCACAUCCCGAUAAGCUCGUCUAUCUGAUGAGAAAUACUGAGAAGAAUAAGAAGUUUGACAGCCAAAAGCAAAUAGACCAUAUACCAAUCAGCAUCUAAUGUGAAUUGCAAGACCAAAACAAUGCAAGGUAACCUGCCAGUCAUCAUUCGUGCCAUUUUCUUCACUGGAGAGCUUUCUUGAUAGCUUGCGUUUUAGACCUUCAACAUCUAAAGAAAAUCACAUAUCAAUCUUCCUCGGUAUCAAUCUUAUCAACAAACUGAACUGGAAGAUUCAUUUUGAUAAAUGUCGACAGAGGCAUCUAACUAAACUACAUUGCUGCAGGUUCUAGAAAAGGUAUACACAAUCUCCGGAUUAACAGCAUUUGAAUCCAUCAUACGCUAACUGUUUGGUAUUUAGAAUUCGGAUGCUUUUGGGAGCAGUCUAAGAUGAACAUGGAUGGUUGCUUUCCAAACCAAUAAUCUUGAGGACAUAACUACAUUAUUAUUGGCCAAAGAUAACCAGGUCAUAAAGCAUCAACUGUUGGUCAACGGCUGCUCCCUUUGGACGAAGGACUAAAUGCAUUAACUAGAAGAAGAUUGUAUUACAUAGGACAGAUAAAAUUAAAAUUAAACUUAAUGUAUCGAGAUAUGACAUGAAUUGAUCUAAAGGCAUCCGGUGUGAGAUGAAAGAAAAGCUUUGGAACAAGUACGACAAACCUGAUUCACCAGAUCGAAGACGACCUCCUGGUAGCUUAAAGAAAGAGUUUCUCACUUGCAGUAAUAGCACAUGAGGGUGUUGAAACAAUUCGACCUGCUUCAGCAGACUCUUAGACCCUUGUAAUGAAACACAUACCGCAGAAUUCGUAGCAAGAGCUCGGUCUGCUCAACGGAAAGCUAAAAGCUACAGCUAAAUGACGAUGGAUCACAAAAUUAAGAUGAAAGAAUAAUCAUAGUGCAAAGUUAACCAUAUUAACGGUGGCAAUGUAAACAAGUGCAGUUUACAUCUCAUAUACGCACUGAUGAUCACAGAGAUAUUUCAUUACGAAGAUAAAGCAAACUGCAUUAGUACUGGAGUGAAAUGUCAGCAUUAACAACAAUCUACCAUGUAAAUGUCAGACUGAAACCAAGAAAACAUUUCCACAAAAAAUUAGAACAGAAAUCCAGGCAUAAUAAUCAGCUAUUAAUCACAGGCAGAUGGAAUGUCAUGUCGGGAAACAACAAAAGAGUUUGUGAAUCUUCAUAUCCAUCUAACCAUCUAAUUAAAUUUCAUAACCCCUUAACCCAAAAUAACAAAUAAAUAAAUAAACAAAAAAAAAGAGAAAUUUUUUUCUUCAGCUUGUAGCAGUCCCCUGUUACUUGUAGAACCAUUUUGAUAGGAAGCAUGUUAGCUUGAUCGAAUAGCUUAAUCAAACCCUAACAAAAAAAAAAUCCCUUUCUUUUCUUUUUGUUCAUGUGUGUGUUUAUUCAGGUGUUCAAAGAUCAAAUUCCAAGACCCUUUUCCUUUCUAAGCAGAGAACAAAAGGAUAAAGAAUGAAUAAAGGCGCAUGUAACUCAGUAAUCGAUUCCACACAACUACAGGAUGUCUCAAGAUACGAGGAAGGGCGACAAGGGAAAGAACCGACCAGAAGGAUCCCGUGGACGCAAGUCCUCAUCCCACGAGCCGCGUAACUGCGAGAAACCCACCAAGUGUUUGUAUUUAUGCCGUAAAGAAAAAUAAUACAUCAAAUCGAUUCACAAUACGACCGCAAAAGAGAGACAGACUAGAUUAUCUCACAUACUUAGCUUUCAUCCGCUGGAUUCGGUCGGCCAGGCAGUCGUCCUUGUCAGGGAUGGCGUCUUUAGAACCGAAGAAGUAACGACUCAAGGGAUAUAUCUCCACCACGUUGCUUCCACCGCCGCCGUCGCCGCUGUCGUUGCAGUGGAACGUCUCACCGUUUUCCAUGGUGAAUCUCCUGGGCGACAGAGCAAGCCUGAGAAGAGAUGCUAUGGGGGAAGGGGCAGCAAUGUGGCGCGAACCUUCAGUCGUCUUCCGAGGACACUAAUCCACAAUAAUAAUUUAGGUAAUGCCGUGUGUGGAGCUGUCCACGGAAUUCCUUAAGAAAACCAACGGUGAUCGACAGCACCGGACAUCCCUUUGCUUUCUUGUUCUUAUUGGCUCCGUGUGGCACGCGUGUCCGAACCAAAACAACUGAUCCGUUAGAACAUAGAGGGUUCGUUCAGUGCGCCCCCACACGCGUCUUCCUGCAGACACGCGACGACUUCGCCCAAAGCCGUUUCCACUCUGGUCCGCGACCCAACCACAGUGAUAGAUUAAUUCGGUCAGUAAAUUAAGUAUAAUUCAGAUAUCGUCGUUACUAUUAUUGUCAUGCAAAAUGUAAUAAUCGGAGAACAAAUAAAAAAAAAAGCUAAAACUAUAGCCAUAAAAAUCGAACCUAAUUAUCAAACUCAAAAAAUCAGAAAUCGAACCGUUAACCGGUCCAAUUUACCCGUUAAAACAUCUAAUUUAAGCCGUCGAUCUGAUUUUGUAAAUAUAGUUAAGAUUACUUAAAUAUCUUGGAUUUAAUUUUUAUAUUAUCUGUUCAAGAAGGAAGUAUUAUAACACUUGGAACAAAUUCAUAGCUACGAUUGCCAUGGCAAAGUCCACCAUAAAUAAUCCUUUAUAAUUUGCAACAUAGAUAAGCUUUGUCCUACUUCUGAAGAAUCCCUUUUGAUAACAUCAAUCAGCAAGAAUCCUGACAAGAAAACAUAAUUUGCAACCGAAAGCUGUGAAGUUUACUGUUAAGUGUUUGAGCCUAUCUCAUGAAAAAUGAAAUUACAAGAUUCUGACCACCUUCAUUAGAGAUAUGAACAUGGCAAUGUUGUAUAUAGUAUGUGUAAGUGUACAUUCCUUUAAGCCCAGAAAUAAAGAGAUGGGCUAACUCAUGUGUCUAAGUCUAAAUAGCCACCUAGAACUCAAGUUCUCAUGUACAUGGUUCUAUGGGGAAGUCCAACUUACCACCAUGACUAUUUGUUUUUGAACUUUCGUUGUGCUUUUAGAUCCACCACGAUGAUGGUGAUGUUGUCCUUGCUUCCUUUCUUGAGAGCAAGCUUUGACAGGCAGUCUGCAGCAGCUUGAGCUGCAGGAUCAGCUUGUUUACCCCUUGGAGUGGAUGGUGGCACAGGACCAUUCUUUUUGUGCCAGAGCAAGAUCCGCCUGCGGGCUACAUCGCACACCUCUUCGUUAGACAUGACAUCCCACAAGCCAUCGCUAGCAACAAUAAGACAUUCAUCCUCUCUUGCACGUUGGACAAAUGUAAUUUCUGGCUCUGGAAUGAUCCAUGGCUUCAGGUACCGAUCCCCUGCAUACGGCAGAUCAAUUAGUCACUGUUUUCGGGCUUUUAAUCUAUGCAUGUAAGAAAUAAGAGGACCAGACUCGUGGAUGCUCUUAGAUAAUUCCUAUGCCUACAAUAACAAGUUUAGUAAUUCUAUGAACCAGUGUUCGACAGCCCAAGUGCAGAUUUCCUUCUCAAGCGAAAGAUAUACAUCACAAUAUCUGAUCAUGUUUGUGAUAUGAAUGUUAUUCGUAAUAUACUGUACUGAAACAUCACAACCACACCUCAGAGAUCAGUAUAUCUGUCACCAAUCCAUAAACUAGUACUUUAGAAUUUUAGCACAAAUUCUAUUCCAAGAUGCUUUGAGUUAACUGAACAAAGAAAACAUAACUGAAACUGCAAAAUAUAGUAGCCCCGUUAUUGGAUCGCCCCAUUAUCAACAAUUUUAGCAUGAGAUAUACAUAAAAAAUAAUUGAUGGCAGUUUUCAGCACAGGUAAGAAUACUUCAGACUGAUAUGGAAGUGUUGGUCUUACAGAACCACCAAGUUCUAACAUCACCAGGAAGCCAUUUCAAGCCACAUGAGCCUGCAUGCUCUAGGGAAACAUUGAUCAAGUGAACAUGCACAUUGUUUGUCACACUCCAUACACACAAAAUCACAGCAUUGGAAAAUGGGCAAGAGGGAAGUUUAUGUAUCAUGCAUGACAAGGUUUUUUACUUCAAGGAAGAAACAAAUGAAAAAAUACAAUCUAUGGAAUCCAGUGCCCUAUAAGUUAGGAUGAUUUUUAUGUUAUUUAAAAAUGACAAAAAAAUCAAAUUUCAUUCAUGCAUAAAGAUGACUAGGUAUUUUGCUACCUAGUAGUAUUGUGAGGUUAGAAAAUGAACAUAUGCAUAGUUUAGGACCACUGAAAAGCUCACAACAAAGUAUAAGGGUGUUCACGUUAUAUGGCAUUUUUGCCUAUUUUUCCUAGGUUAAGUCCAACAUAAUGCACAGAUUGUUCAUGAUAUUUGUUCUCACAAUACAGAAAUUGCAGAUGUACCCUCCUCCUCAAAAUAGACAAAAUUAACUCUUGUUUUUCAGUGACCACCUAUCUCUCUCACUAUAUAUAUAUUUGUAUAUAUAUAUACAUAUACAUAUAUACAUGUAUAUGUGUAUAUAUACAUAUACAUAUACAUAUACAUAUAUACAUAUACAUAUAUACAUAUACAUACAUACAUAUAUAUGUAUAUAUAUAUAUAUGUAUAUAUAUAUAUAUGUAUAUAUAUGUAUAUGUGUGUAUAUAUAUGCACACACACACACACACAUUCACCAACUUUGGCAAUAGCUCCUAUAUAAUACAAUGAAUCAACAAGCUAUUCAUUAGGCUUGUUCAGCUUUCAAUGUUUGAAGCUGAUGUUUUGUUAUGGGCAUCCCAAUGCAUUUGAACUGUCAUAAAGUUUGACAAAAACAAGCAUGAUCAUCCACACUGUGCAAAUAGAACAAUCCAAUUAUUACAGAAUGGUAAACUUAAUGAGUUAACUCCACUGCUAGUAACAGAUUUAUAAGAGAGAAAGAUAAAUACCAAUUGAACGUGACAUGGCAAGAACACCAAAUACACGAUAUCCAUUCCACUGUAUGACCUUACCACCCUGAGCCUCGAUCCUUGUAUACUCAUCUUCCCUGUUAGGCUAAAGAAUAAAGUAGAAAAUUGGCUUGUAGUAGAAUAAAUUUUAAAUGUAAUCUUGGAGAUCCAUAGUAUUAAAGUUUAAAACAUAAUCUUACUUUAUGAUCCACUGAUAGAGGCAUUGGUUGUUUGCCACGGCAAAGUACUGCCCUUGAAUCCCCACAGUUUGCAAUGAUAAUGUGCGAUGAGGAGAUAACAGCAACCACAGCUGUCGAUCCUACAGUGUCUGGGGCAACAGGUUCUAAUGGUACAUUAGGACAAGGCAGGUUACCUUCGUUGGGUGCUUCGGCUGUGCUUCCCAUAUUUCCUCUGCUUCCUUUCCCUCCAACCUCAUCAUCAAUUUUCUGGAAGCAAGCAACGAAGACCUUCUCCCACUUCCUCUUCCAAUUGCUACAACUUGUGCCUCCCGAAUCUUUAACCAAACUCCUCAAUUGGUCUAUCAACACAAGAUGGAGAUGCUCACGACAGUAGUUAGCGACCUGCAAUAUUAGAACAAAAGGCAACAUAAGAACCAAAGAUCUUUGAAGUUUUCACUCAGGAAAUUGGACAGCAACCAACUGUGGAAUUGAAUGUUCUGACCAAAACGUGAGUACCUGGGCACCCCCAUGGCCAUCAUAUACACCAAAGAAGUGCAAUGGCAGGCGGAUCACAUCUGGGUCUAAGUCAUCCACAAUCUGAUCACCGGUAAGCAACCGAAGUGGGACUUCGAAAAAAUUAGGCACCACAACCACAGCAUCCUCCAUCUCCGGCCUUCGCCCACAAAUCGUUAUGCAUCCCCAAAGGGGCAUACUUUCCAUCAAGAACAUGCUCUGCGAGCGGCCGGCGCCACCACCUGAACGGCUUUGUGGGGUUCCGUACUCAACAACAGGUGUUAUGGUCGCAUCAGGAUCAACCAUGCUUACGGCUAGGAGUUCCACUGAAGCCGACACCGGCACAAUCUCAACAAGGCUGUUUCCUGCAUCAACAGAGGAAGGCGUCCCCAUCUCACAAGAAGAGUCAGAAACCGAGAACUCGUGCAUUGCGCAGCUUAUGCUGCUGCUAUCGCUAACGACAGAACAAGAGCUUUCGACCGACAAUCCAGGCUCGACGGAUGUUGAGUCCUCCAUGUCACUCUCCGUAAUCGGAUCAUCCCCGCCCCCGUCCUCCUCCAAAGCAGCCGUCGGCGCUGCCGCCUCGAUUUGCUCAACAACACCGACCGAAUCAGAACCAGAUGCUGCCAUGGGACCCGAGAGGAGGUGCUCAGCUUCUUCGGCAGUUCGUUUGCGGUGAGCGAUCUCGACUGCAGCGUCGCAGAGCGAACUGCCUACCCCGGAUGGCAAAGAAAGCGCGGGAGGCAUCUCAUCCAUCCACUCCCCCACCUCCCCCACAAGCGCUGUGGUCGCGGUGAAGCCAGUCACUGCGAGACGUGGCGCGUGUCGACCUCACGAGUCACGCGCACAUCCCUAACUUUGUCGAAGAUCCGUUCCUGCCGCCGCGGCCUCGUCGCUCUCUAAUUCACGGGUCACGCGGCGUUGCCUCCCGUGCCCCAGAGACCAUGACAGCACCAUCCAACCAACCCCCUUCCUGUAUCAGAGGAAGGAUUAUAUUAAGACCGGAAACAACAAUUACAAGCAACCCAAACAAAUCGAGGCAGUCUCCCUACUCAAUCAGGGCAGUCACCAGCAUACACCCAAAGAAGAUAAAGGAAAGGAAUUGAUGUGUGGCUAUGUUCCCCAAAACGAAUCUCACUGCUGAGAGGUAGAAUAUAAGCAGGACAAAAGGAUGGGGUGGGCGAAAUCGAGAACCUUUGCAUUAUCAUCUCUAUUGCACAAGCAAACGCUCCGGUGGGGGUGCUCGGCAUUGUCUCAGUUCCCUGGAUCUGAUGGAGGCCUCAUUGUCUCGAUAAUGAGAAGGAGAUGUGGAACUUUGACAAACAAGAGAUGCACAGAAGAGAGAGACGGAGAGAGAGAGAGAUGUCCGAGGAAGCCGAUGUGGGAGCGUGAAACGGCCUGUUGGAUCCAAUCCCUUGUACCGAAUCCCCCAGAAACUCUCUCUUGUGGGCUCGUCUCGACACGUGUCCCUUCUCGUACCGCGGAAGGGCCCCGCGAGAGCGCGCGUGUUCCUCUUCUCUGUGUGGGGCCCGCGGGCUGCUCACGUUUUCGCUGCACGGUUGCGGGCCCCAAGUCCCAUCGGGUCCGCGUGUUCCGAGGACAGUCCUCUCUCCUGCUGGAUGCUCACCACGUGGCCACGAUAAGAAACUUCACCGAAUCGGAUCCCAUACUUCGCGCAGCCGGACGAACGAAUCACGUGACCACGUGGUCAGCGGUCUCUUACCUUCCACUGCGGCCACCGUAACCAGUAGAGGAAGUAGCAGGGGCCCACAUUUGACGACCCUGACGUGGACGAAGUGAUUACCGGUAGGGAAGACUCACGGCACGAGUCAAGGAGUCGGAUUUGAAGGCGCCAGUGACCGGAAUAAAAGCUGUAGUACGACUGAAACACCCCUGAAAAUUUCAGGGGUGAUUUUGGUCGUCCAAAGACUAAUGGAUCAUUAACAUCUCUUAAUGUAUCUAUUUGUACACGAUUAGGAUGCUUUUGUCUUCUCCAAUCAUUUCUUUCUGAUGAUUACUACUAAAGCAUUAUUGUGUCGUCACUCGUAAUAGCCGAGUGUUCUGUCAUGUCCAUGGAGAGAGCAAUUAGAUGUAAAGUGUAAUUACCAGCUCCUUUCAACAUAUCCAUGCACCGGUGCAGGCCCGAUUGUGCCCUGAGCUUCGUCCUAGCUUCAGACGCCCUCUUCCCUCAGCUCUCCACUGUGUCCGUCAUAGACUUCCGUGGCGUCCCCACGUUUGGUUUGCUCAUCGUCAUCUCGUGGUCAGCAGAAACCAGCACGAACUUCCAUUAGCAUCUGAUGUGAAGCUUCAGCUAAGCGUGGCAUUUGUAAUGGUGAUGCCUACGAAAACGGAUUGACGAGAGAUCUGGCUCGCCGUAACUGUGUUGCCCGUUGCUGCUGUAGCUGCUUCUGCUGGUGGCAGUGCCGUCGCUGCCGAUGGAGCUAGAUUCAUAAGCAUGCCCAAGAUUCCUUAGCCGGUUCAACUCCGGCAGCACCACCAUCCCAAGAUCCGGCCGGUCCUUCCUCCUCGGUUCUGCGCACUUCAGAGCGAGCUUGGCGAACCCGAGCGUCUCCUCCACUGGCCAGUCCUUCACGGUGGCGUCGAGCAUCUCCAUGAAGGUUCCCCUCUCGAUGGCUCUCUCCACCGGAUGCGUGAGGCCCAUCGGCGGCUUGGCGGUGAUGAUCUGGAGAAGCAGGAUGCCGAAUGAGUAUAUGUCGGAUUUGGUGCCGAGCAUGCCCGUCUGCUGGUACUCCGGGUUGAUGUAGCAAAAGGUGCCGGCGGUGGAUGUCAUCACGUACCGGCUGACUUGGUUGGCGACCGACGGCGGGACCAGAAGCGCCAGGCCGACGUUGCUCAUCUUUCUCAAGUAGUUGCGGUCGAGGAGGAUGUUGGCCGGCUUGAGGUCCCGAUGAACCAGCGGCUCUGGCUUGGCCUGGUGCAGAAAGAGCAGAGCGGUGGCGAUCUCAGCAGCAACCUUGCCUCACCGGAAGGUGCGGUCCUCAAAGCUUCCGUUGUCCAUCUUACUAUUUUCUUAGCGCGACUUGAUUGAGUCAUCAGGAUCUGAGAGUUGAGAGUUGGCCGAAACGGGCGACUGCGGAGGAAGAACAGCGGUAGUAGGUGGAGUUCUCGCCGUCCUUACGGUUGUCGGCUUCCCUUUCGAUAUGGCAUACAGUGCACAAAACUCUGGUGCCAGUUUGGUCACGUAUGCAAGUACGUCAGGAUUCGUAAACUUCCGGCAAAAUGAAAGCAGAGACUUCCUUUGUCUUCGUCACAACAAUAAUUCCAUGGAUUACAAGGUUUGCAUUGCAGAGGCUACGGAGAAACGUAGAUACUUCGUCAGUGCAUUUCUGCUGGAGGCACCAACAACGAUGUCGUGGACGUAGUUUGCGUUGAUGUAGUCGAUGAUGGCCUUGGAGAUAUCACUGUCUUCCAGGACUACCUCCGCAUCUGCUCCUGAAGACCAUCGACAAAGAUCACGCAGCUCUGAGCUUUGAAGGUUUUGUUUGCUGAUCGAUUUGGAGCAAGAGAAAGAGUAGACCUGAAAGGUUACCCACCCCUUUAAGAGCGUAUCAUCCCCUGUAGGGGAGAAACAAUUGUGAUAUCUCAUUCUCCGCCUGUUCCCGGGCGGCGUCCGAGUUGGUUUCGGCUGCAGCACCCGUCAACAAUGAUUCAUCGUCAACGUAGCAGGAGCAGAGGACGGAAGAAGAAGGUGUUAGGUGAGGUGAACUAGGUGUUGUGUGAGCGAGUAAAGAGGGAAGUGUACCUAUGGUUAGGCUUGGCUUCGACGUGAACGAGAAUGAGGGCGUCAUUGCCAUGGAGAACAUGGUCGACGGUCCGUUUCACCGCCUGCUGGCUGUUCUUGUCUUUGUCGAUGGCCACCACCGUCGACGCCGACGGACGCCCGUCAUCGUUGCCUUAACCGCCGAGCAUUUCCGCACUUGUUCCCGAAGAUGAUGAGACGAAGACGACAACGAUGAUGGAGAAGAAAGGCGGCAACUUCCUGCCCCUCUCUCUCUCUCUCUCUCUCUUGGUUGACAUAAUUAUCGAACUCGGGUAAUCGGGUCGGAUCUCUAACCGCCUCGCUGCUUGUCACAGCCUCUACGUAAGGAUAAAACUUCUAUUUAUCGGAUCCGGGUAAUCGGGUCGGAUAUCCAACUGCCUCGAACAAACCCAUGUUUCCUCGCUCCUCGACGCAAGCCACGGGCGGAGGCCACAGCAAUCCCAUGGUCGCUGCCGCUCCCUUCCCUUCCGGAGCAGACGGCGAACCGACAGUUACCCCGGACCUCGACGCUUCCUUGCUCGAUCGUUGAUUGCCGCAUUCCAUCCUCCAGCAGCGGCGUCGUCGAUGGCCACUCCAAUCCGCCGCAAAGGUUUUCUUGCUUGAUAAAGAAAUAUUGUUCCUUGAUCGAACCAACAUCUUGCUUGAAUCAUAAUCGUGGAUCGUCUCGGCCCUCAAAGGACGGUCUCGACUUCCAAGAGGUGUAGUGAUAGUAGCAUCGAAGAAAGGUUUCAUUUGUCCUCCACAGUGUCUGUUAUUAGAGUAAUCAUGCUUUCAAGAGAUUACUGUCUUGUAGUAUACAACCCAUUCUCUGUAUAGCUGUGCUUCCUUCCUGCUUUAUUGCUUCUUUUUGUAGCUAUUUAUCUGAGGUAAACAUACAUUGUUGAGUUAAUGUCUUUUUGUCUAGCACCAAAAUGUACUUAUUAUCAAAGGAGCAAAACUUUUAGCUUUGAUUCAGCCUACUUAGCCCCAAUCAGGUUCUUAUAUUCAUUAGGAGUAAUAGGACUAUGUCCAUUUCAUGUGGUAAAAAAGGUCAAUUUGGAUUUUUGAAUUGUUGACAAACAAAUCACAGUUCUACUUCAGAUAUGCAUUGCUCCAUAGAAUAAUAGUGCUUGAUCUGAGGUUGGAAAAUGUUAGCUCAGUGUUAAAGUUGGUUUGUAGACUGGUAUUGAUCACUGCACCAAGCCAAUUUAUGAUUCCCAGUAAUUGCAUCAUACAAACUCUUGGACAGAAUUUUCUAAGAGUAUGUUUACCUUUCAUGAGCAGAGGCCUGAGGGUUUAUCAUUAAUCACAUCUCUGGUAAAACAGACAUAUAUUGCAGGGGUUUGCUGGAGAAGCACCUUAUGCUAUAUUGUCAUCACUUGGAGCCUCUACUACUAGUUUGAUUGUCAGCAAUUUUAUUAUUUUGGGGUGGGGGGGGGUGUAGUUAUUUUAAUUCUCAAAUGAUCAAUCUUGGGUAAUAGCCAUCUCUAAGGUCAUUAACCAGCAAUGCUAUUGAUGCUUUGGUUUUUGUCACCUAUUUCCAUACAGUAUGGCCUUUGCACACAGGCUAUAUAUGCAUGGCUUGUUCUGUCACCUAUUUCCAAACACCAGAUUGUUUGUGUAAUAAGUGGUUCUUUCUAUCUUGACAUUUAUGUUGGUGAUGUUUCUUGACACAUUUUUUGGUUUUGCAAUUGUUAGGGCUAAUUUCUCAUCAGCACUGCAAAGUAGGAAGUUUUAGUUGAAGGUUUGAUAGUUUCUGCAAUAAUACAUGAGAGAGGCUUUGGUGCAUGAGGAUUCCAUUGAUGUAGGAUCUGUGGUGGAUUCAUGUCUCUAACCUAAUUACCUUUGCUAGCAAAGAGGUUUAUGUGACUAAAAACCAGUCCAUGAGGGUCUCAUUGAUGUAGGAUCUGGGUUGUAUCAAUGUCCAUGGUCUUGAAGAGAGAUUAUUUAUGUUACUUGAGUCCUGAUCACUCAAAUUGCAAAUCAGCAAUUUUAGUGUAGCACACAAGAAAACAUUGAAAUCAAGAAGAGCAGUGGGUCUAUGGUUUGCUGUUGUUGAUACAGGUAGUAGCAUAUCAUCAAGACUGAUGAGCCUUGACUUGGUUAUAAAAUGAUAUAUACAGUAUAUUCUCAAGAUACAAGGAAACAAAUGUAGGCUCACAAGAAAUACUAUGGUUUAUGUUUAUUGUCAAUGAUCAAUUAUCAUUGAUCUGUCUGACCUAAUGCAGGUCACAAUUGCAUCUCAAACCCUGAAGUUUCAUGAACUAGAGUUUUUUUGGAAACUGUGAAUUUUUUACACUGUAUUGACAUGAAUGAGGUUCACAAGGCUGUGCUUCACAUCUAUUAGCAUAUUUAAUUAGCAGGAAUAAGUGCUUGGAAUGUUGUUCAUGCUUAAUGUCUUACCUUGCAAUGAAUCCUCUGCUCUUCUCUCACAUUUUUCUACUCUCUGUCUUCUCCUUGAGAAAGAACUCAUGAAAGCUGCCUGGUUUUGCAAUGUGGGCUUCGCAAGCAGUCUGUGCUUCACCAGAUUAAGUAGCUGAUGGUUUGUCCGGAUGGAUUACAUGGUAGUUUCUUGGACACCCAGAUGAAUCAGAUCGAGGACAUCGACAUGAAGAAAGAGAGCACUCUAAAGCAUCACUCAGUCACAGGUUCUGUUUUCUAAACCAAACUUGGAAUCGUAUUUUGUCUAAUCAAAACAUGUGUUCGAGUGUUCCUUCUUCAUGUUGUCAGUGAUGCAAAGAGAUGAAGAUAAAGGUGGUCGGCUGACAUGGUCUGUUGUUGAUGGAGAACCAAGUAUCUCCUGGUAGCCAAAGCAACUCCUGUGAAGCUUUUCUCUAGUGGAACCGAGAGGGGGUCCAAAAACGGUCCCUUCCUUCCUCUCUUUCCAAAAGUUGGAAGGAGAUGACCAAAAAAAUCCACUUGCACCAGAGGAAAGAAGAUAAGAUUUUGCAGUGCCCGAGAAAUAGUAGAAAGAUUUCUUAGUACCAGCAUUGAUCUGAUCCUGUGAGCUCCACGGCUCAGGCAUAUCUUUGUGAGCUGUCUCAUCAAGCCUGAGGCGAAAAGUGGCAUCAGAAGCUGGAACCUCAUUGAGGACACAGAAGAAACUUUUGAUCCCCUCCUCAUGAACAAAUCCACCGCAAAAGUAGGUUCUCCUGCAAAAUGAUCAGACGGGAAAGCCGUCACAGGAGCUCUUUCGAUGGGAUGCAAGGGGUGAGACAAAGCUGCGAAUGGAUUGGAUGUCGGAGACAUGUGAUCCAUCACCUGCAGGCUCUGAUCCCCAAGGGGAUCUCAAAGUAUCCAUCUCCCAUGUCUCUUCCUUCGAGGCCUAUUCCUGUGCAUCGACCGACAUGUGAGAUCUUUGAGACCAGCGACACCAUCCUCCCAUCAUGGCCGGCUUGCUUCCAUGCACGUGCGCUCCGGCACAACGAAGCUAUCUAUCUGCAGCAGCUGACAUUGUUGCCGGCUUGGCCUCGAAGUGUGAUUAUGGACCGACACAAAGAUUCACAUGGAUCGGUUCUGCUAAGGGUCUUCCUACAUCAAUGUGGUUCUGCAAGAAGCGUGCAUCUGACUGUGGUAGUAAAGGUGAAGAUUUGUUUUGGAGAUCGAUUAACAGUACAUGCAUCAGAAUGCAACCAAAAGUUUCAAUGAUUCGACAAAUCUACAGCAAGUUGGCUUCACUGCAGAGCAAAGAGGUCAUCUUAUCUCCUCAACGUCUUAUCCAAACUCAAAAAGUCAUCUUCUCCUCCUCUGUUCGAAUGGUUUUUAACACCCACCUCCUCUAGUGACUAUGGUAGGCACUGACUUAUGAGAUUUGACAACAGCUACUAAUAGGUCAUGGCAGCUAUCAGCUGGAUGCUCUGUCUCUGAUCAUUGCAGAUUGCAAUCCAGAUAACAUUUUCCUACUUGAAAAGAUGGCAUAAGUAACAUGGAUGAACAGAGCUUGGCCUGCAAUGAUUGAGUCCAUCGUGGUACUGAUGACAAUCUAACAUGAAUGUUGUAAGUAGCAGCAGAUGGAGUUAGCAGGAAAGCGUAUGACGUAGUAUUCCGAUAUGCUUUUGUUUUCCUCCUCCAUUUUAGUUUGUUUCGAGCAAGACAAGACUAAAGGCUAACUUUCUCUGUCACCUGUUUCACAGGGUCUGCUCUGUGCUCGCUACGCUCCGAGGGUUGUAGUGUUAGAUCCCAGCAUGAUGGAAACCGAGUCGGUCGUCCAUGGCGAUCGCAGACGGCUCUUCUUUUGAAGCUAUCUCUUGUUGGACCCCAUGGGCAAUUGCAGUCCCCUUUCAUCUGCUGGAUCUACCUCGAAAAGUAGAAGAAAACAGUGGUUAGCAUUCGAGCCCUGCGCAAAUGGAGGCUUUCGUGGUGACGACUGGUUGUCGGCACACCUUCCCGGUGGUGGGGGAGAUGAGACUCCUCCGACCACACGCAAUGUGUGGGUUUGGAGUGAAAACACAGAGGAGCUUUCUUCUUGUUUUAAGACAAGUUGCGAAGAUGUUGGCCCAUACAUGGAGGUGACAAGGUCGACGGCCAUGUGCCCCUUUGAGACCGCCCGCCAGCCUACCAUAUGCCACUGGCUGCAGGACUUCGUUACAGCAACCAAAGCACAAGCGAAGAAGAAGAAGAAGAAGAAGAAGAAGAAGAUGAUGAUGAUGAUGAUGAUGAUGAUGUUGAUGAUUAUUAUUAUUAUUAUUAUAUCAAGUUCUCUAUCAGUCUCUUCAUGCUGACUGUGAAAUAGGAUUUUGGAUAUUGAUGUGAUCGAAUGAUAAGAAAUCUUUUCGUCUUAAAGAAUCUCUUAAAAAUGUAAGAGAAAGGAUAAGAAAUUGGAGAAGGAAAAGUCAUCUCAAUAAUAAAUCUUUUAAAAGGCAGUCUAAAACGCUUAGCUUCGAAGACUUUUUCUUUCCCUUGUCCCUCAAAAAACACCUUUUUAGCACGCCAUCAUCUUGAUGAUCGAUGAAGAAGACGUUCAAGAACAAUCCCAAAUUUGACUUGUGGCGAUUACAUAAGAUUAAGUCAAUAAACAGUAUUUUACGGUUUGAAUAAACAAGUCAAUGAUUGCUCCGUAGCAUACAUGAAACUAUAAUGGAUCAGAGCGUGUGAUCUGAGACAAAGUUCGUGACUCUCAUCACCGAGCUGAGCACUCGACGAUCGGGCGGCGGAUAGGAUUCGGUGAAUCUAUCAUAUUAAUUGACCAGCCACACACAAAAAAUGCCUCUUCCCAAAGUCAACUCCACGGGUAGAGUCAACCUGCACCCAGGAAACAUGAAACCAUGUCAGGUUUGACAAAUGUGAUGAUUGCUGUGGCUUCAAGAAAGUCAAAGUCAAAAUGAUGCACGCUUGCAAGCGGGGAAGUCAACUGCGGGACGUGCCACCAUCUUCUUGUUAGAGUAGAUUGGAAUCCGAAUCAUUAGAUAUUUAAUUAGAACAAAAAACACUAAUCUUUGUUUGAUCACCAUCUUUUUGUCAUGACCAUCAGAAAUUUAAUUUUUUUAGGAUUUAAAUUUAUAAUUUUAUCAAAAUAUUUACCAAUUGGAUUAAUAUUUUAAAAUUAAGAUCAAUUCUAUUCAAUCUAAAUCGGUCUAUUAAAUAAAAAAUUCUCUCAAAUUAGAAAAAUAUAUAAUCUUUAAAGUCAAAUUAUUAAUAAAUCAAUUUGGACCAAAUUAAUUAAUUUGAUUUAAAUUUUCGAUUAAAUUUAAACACCCCUAAUACCGCCAAUACGAAUCCAUGGACUCCACCUUCUUCAUUGUUCAUAGGCAUCUCUCUCUCUCUCUCUCUCUCUCUAUGAAUCCAUGGACUCCACCUUNNNNNNNNNNNNNNNNNNNNCCUCUCUCUCUCUCGCUCUCUCUCUCUCUCUCCCCCAUAUGCGGAGACUACCAAACAAAAGAAGUCGACGGCCCACUGCUCUCCUCAGGUUCCUUUUUAUUUCUUUCUACUGUUGUUUUCUUGUAUCAUCUCCCCACAUAGUACAGGAAAAGACCAGCCCCAAAGAUCUUCUUUGCACCCCUACAGAUCUCUCCCCACGUUCCUCUUCGCCUUUUAUAUGACAAGCCAUCCUCACCCUCUACUCCACACACACACACACACACACUCUCUCUCUCUCUCUCUCUCUCUCUCUCUGAGAUCGACGACAAACAUAUCACAGGACGAUGAUCUUCUUGCCCAGGACCAGCUUCAUGUUCUCCUCGGUGGUGGUCGUGUUCCUUGUGGGCGGCCUGCUGUCCAUAGUUGGGCAGCACAAGCCGGGGCCUGCUGUUUCAUUGCUCCAGGAGAUCCACUCCCUGAAGCUGAAUUCCACGGUGUGCGUCGACCCCGAGGCCGUCGACCGCGCUUCCACAGACUUCGGGCUGAUUACGCGAGCCGUUCCUGCGGCGGUGUUCCGCCCGUCGUCGGACAGCGACAUAGCGGCGUUGGUGGGGUUCUCGUACGCGUCGGCUCGGCCCUUCGGGAUAGCCCCGAGAGGCCGUGGCCACUCGGUCAGGGGGCAGGCGCUUGCCCGCGACGGCGUGGUGGUCGACAUGGGUGCGCUGAGGGGCGACGGCCAGGGUCGGAUACGUGUGUGCGGGGAAGGGUGCCGGCCGAGCUAUGUGGACGCCGGUGGCGAGCAGUUAUGGAUCGACGUCCUGCGGGAGACCAUGAAGCAUGGGCUUGCACCCCGCUCCUGGACCGACUACUUGUACCUCACCGUGGGCGGCACCCUCUCGAAUGCCGGCAUCAGUGGCCAGACCUUCCUGUAUGGUCCCCAGAUCUCCAACGUGUAUGAACUGGAUGUGAUCACCGGUACGAAUCAUUUCUCCUCUGCUUCACCUAAUCAUCCACUGUUCCAUCUGUAACGUUCGGGAACGAAUGAUCAUGUCGAUCAGGAAAGGGAGAGACGGUGACAUGCUCGGAGCAGCACGAAGCAGACCUGUUCUUUGCAGUUCUGGGAGGUCUGGCCCAGUUCGGGAUCAUCACGAGAGCUCGGAUCGCCAUAGAGCCAGCUCCAACAAUGGUACGCAUGCAUCGAUCCAGAUGAGUGCAAGAAACGUGGUCUCAUUCAGUGAGUUUCGAUCCUGCAGGUAAGAUGGGUGCGGCUGAUCUACAAAGACUUUGCAGCUUUCACCAGCGAUCAGGAGAGACUGAUUUCACUGGAGAAGAAGAAGGGGUUCAACUACGUAGAAGGUUCGGUGAUAAUGGCCGAUAGCCUCACCGAUAACUGGAGAUCAUCGUUCUAUGUAGAAGAGGAUAUCACAAGGAUCUCAAGGUUGGCAGCACAGUAUGGUGCAGUCUACUGCUUGGAAGGAGCCAAGUACUAUGACCACGCUACGGCAUCUUCCAUCGAUCAGGUGGUAAACCGAUGUUGGAAAUGUAGAAUUCCUUCGUUCUGAUGUUGAAUUUGGAACCUGUUCGAUGCUUCCUGUUGCCAGGAACUCAGAUCGGUGGUGGAUGAUCUGAGGUACUUGCCAGGGUUCGAGUUCAGGAACGAUGUCAGCUACAUGCACUUCCUCAACCGAGUGCGGGAAGGAGAGACGAAGCUUCAGUCCAGGGGCCUCUGGAACGUGCCCCAUCCGUGGCUCAACAUGUUGAUCCCCAGGUCCAGAAUACUGGAGUUCGAUCGAGGGGUCUUCAAGAGCAUCCUCAAGCACAACAACUCGGUGGGUCCGAUCCUAAUCUGCGCCAUGAACAGGAACAAGUGCGUACGACUUCUUCAUGCAUCAAACUCAUUUCCACAUGCACAUGACGAGAGUGUGGCGGAUGCAGGUGGGAUCAGAGGACGUCGGCCGUCGUUCCCGACGAAGAGGUGUUCUACGCGAUAGGGCUGUUGCGGUCCGGCAUGGACGGGUGGAAGAAUUUGGAGGAGCAAAACGAGGAGAUACUGCGGUUCUGCGACGACGCCGGAAUAAGCUACAGACAGUACUUGCCUCAUUACACGUCUCUUGCGGACUGGAGGAAGCAUUUCGGGGCGAAAUGGGAUGUGUUUGUGGAGAGGAAGAUGAGAUAUGAUCCGAGAGCAUUGUUAUCUCCUGGCCAGCGUAUAUUUACCUCCUCCUUUGCUCAACAUCAAUCCAUGUAAAUACCAGCAUGAAUACCUUAAAGGAUAAGCAUAUUUCUCUCAAAGAAGAUGUAAGAGAGAAGCUCAAGAUUUCCUUUUCUUGGGGAUUAUGUAAAUAUCUUUGUGGUUUCUGUAGCACCCAACUGGAGUGAUCUACUACUCAAAUCACAGGUCAAAGACUUCGUCCGAUAUAUGUACACAUAUGAUAUGGCGUUGACUUGGUUCGAGCAACAUAUAAUCCGUAUGAAGUUGUCUGGCACAGUCAAACUACUUGUUUCCUGAUCAUAGAGAUGGAUAAUUGAAUGGAAACAGAGGAUAGCAAGCAAAAGAAGGAUCCCACAGUCUCAUGAUUCAAGCUUCUGAAAUGUCCAUUAGUAACAACUGAGCAACGACACAUAAGAUUUCAAUCAGUGCUGUCUAGUGUGUAUGCAUCAAGAAAAGAUGUGUCGAAAAAGGAAUUUUCAAUACUCAAACUUUGAUCAUUUUCUGUAAUUAUUGGAACAUCCGGCUGGUACAGAGCUUGUUCUAACACAAGCAACUCAUUGGUAGAAAGUAGUAUAAAAAACAAGAGGUCUAUCAAUUAUGAUCACAACACGGAGCAUAUUUGCACAGAUUUGAUCCAAGGCAGCACCUUUGAAACUUCAGUGCAAAAGAAUCAGCUUACACGGUACUGCCAGAAUCGCAGAAAAAGUAUUAGGAUAACAUGACACAAUGCUUGGUCGAAGCACAACAACAUGCUCGAGGAUUCAUGAAAGAUGAGGCUUUUUAUAUGCUGGGAAUAGAUUUUGCUCCAAUAAACUGCUUGAGGAGAGCCUUCUCAUCAUCAAUUUUUUUCUUCUCGGCCCGAUCACUCGGCUUCACUUUCCUCUUCUCCUCCAGCAUCCACUUAUAGAGUUCUCGCUGCUCCUGUUCUGCUAUAGGAGGCAGAACCUUCAUGGGUGCUGGAACAGGUCCAGCAACAGGUUUCGCAUCAGGAAUCACAGAUUCGGUGGCAGCUACUGGGGCAGCCAGAACCUCUCCCGCAACCUCUGCAUCCUUCUCAACUGACUCAUUCUUUGAUGUGCUAAGAAAUGCGUACACUGCAUGAAGAGGAUUGUUAAAUCGAGGAAGAGAACCAUGGAUUAGAAGUAUAUAUGUUCAACAUUUUGAUCCAUCAUUUUUAUCAUGACUAACUUGUUGCUUUCAAGGAAUUUCUGCAAUUCAAGAAUAAUACCUCUGAAUCGCCCCACAAUGAAAUGAUCGGGUUCAUAAAUGAAUACCAUUUAUAGCUUGUAAAUAUUUGAAAAGAAACAAAAUAAAAAGGACACUGGCACAGAUUGCCAAUUGUUGCUUUCACAAUUACUUUUACUUAAUAAGAGUUGAAAAGGUUGAUCAAAUCUGAGAGUGAUAAUGUACAAGGGAUUUCAAAAUGACAAUAUAAACCAUGCAAGGUGAUCAAACAUUCCAAAUUGCCAUUAAGAAAAAAUCACAUGAUGUUAAAUCCUCAUGCCUAUACAUGUUUUCAAAGUGAAGUUAUCAUAUGCCCCCUUGAAAAUGUAAGCAUUUCAGAAUGUCUACAUAUAUUUUCCGUUGCGAGGACCAACAUUUUGAACUGAUUCAAAAUUGAGGAAAUUUCUGAAACCGAACGGUAAUGAAGAAUGGGUAUUUCAAAAUGCAACAACAGCAGUUAGGCUAACAAGAGACAUGAACAUUAUCAUUGAAGCAGUCAUCUAAUGGUCUGUAACUUUAGAUACAAUGAUAGCAGGGAGAAAAUCUGUCAGCACAAUUCGCAAAAUGCAAAAGAGCCAGUAAUAACAAAAAAAAUAAAGAGAGAUGAUGCUAUCUCACAGGUCAAUUUUGCUAGCUUAGAAAUGGAUGAAGAAAGAGAGAGGUGAACUGGUCCAAUUAGGAAGGAAGAUGGAACAAUUUUCACAAUGGAAAAAAUGAACUGCAUACUUUCUCAUGAUUUGUCCUUUCAGACAACUGGGAACAAUACCGCUGAGGUUACCAACACUACAUUUUACUGGGAAAAUGUCAAAACUAAUGCGUAUAGCAAAACUAGCAACAAUGGGCUUUAAAAUACAAGAAAAUUCCACUCCAGAGUACUGCAGCCAGUUACAUUUCAAGCCACGAUGACACAAGUUUAUAAUCAUAAGAAUGCAACAUCGGUACACAAAAUGUUGUGAGUCCACAACGGUUGACACGUUAGGGUGCCUCUUAAAACCACCUGAAUGGAUAUCUUGUUUAUAUAACCUUGUCAAAAUCUGAUGAAUAAUUUGUAUCUUUAAUAAAGGAUCAAGCAAUACAAUAGCAGCCAGAAUCCAGAUAAAGGCCAAGAAGAUCCAAGCAUGACUAUGAAGAAUGUACAUCAAUCAACCUGCUAAUGAAUGAAACAUCACUAUCUGACAAAUCAUCUGUGUAUCUUAGUUGAUAAGGUAAGACAUAGAGCACUUCACCAGGAAAGCAUAUAGAAAACAAGAAAACCAAAUAAUACUAUAAAUUUUCUUGCAAAAUAGUAUACAAGAACAUAUAUAAAAGAUCAAAAUUGGAAGAUUAUAAGAAAAACAAGCUUUCAAAAACAAAUUGUAUGGAUUAGAAAAUCAUAAAUAAAAAUUUAAGAAGAGAAUAUUUAUCCUACAAAGGCCAUCAAAAUAUGUGAUACAUGACAGUUUUUACGUUGCAGAUACUUUGCGGGAAAAGAAAAAGACAAGUUGCAUGGAUUUAGGAUGAAUGUGUCUCAUCACCAUGCAAAUUUUGGUUUCUACAAUCUUCUGAUGCCGAUGAAGGAAAACCUUGCACACACAAUGCAAGCUUUGAUGCAUCAAAUUAUUAGGGGCAAAUUGCUAAAGAUAAUAUGUAAGACUCUAAUUGCAAUUCAUAUGAAAGACUUGUCUCUGUUGAGACAUCCAGGUUGGUUAGUGCAUUGUUGCACAAAGUGAUAGGUCUCAAAUUUGAGUCCAUGUGUGAAUGUCAUGUACGCCAUUUAAUAGAAUAAAAAUAUAUUUUAUUUUUUUCUAAAAAAAAUCAUAUGAAAGAUUUUGAUGCUAAAAAUUAAAUCCGCAACUAGUACCACUCUGAGACUCAAAAUGCUCAAGAGCCUCAAUUUCCGGAUUGAGGCAACAAUCUAAAACUCAGCAUCAAUAAGAUCAUCUAAAAAUUGUUGGUAAACUCUUCAUCUCCAAGACUAAUUUCUUAUGCUCAUUCUUAGGUUAUUUCCGGAUUGAGGCAACAAUCUAAAACUCAGCAUCAAUAAGAUCAUCUAAAAAUUGUUGGUAAACUCUUCAUCUCCAAGACUAAUUUCUUAUGCUCAUUCUUAGGUUCUCUCUAACACCACUAAUACUGAUCCCAAGCACGGAUGAAAAAGGUGAAGGGUUACGUUAGGUCACUGAUAAUCUGUGUCAGAUCUCAUGAACAUGGAUUUUAACUAAUCUCAAUGGUGGCAAAAACUCAAUGUAGCCGACACCAAAUAUUUGAAACUUUGAUAGUAGUAUCGUAGGUCCUCUCUAUAAUUAGAAUUUAGGAUACACCGAUACAAUUAGUUCUUUCGGAACACAUUAAAGUAGGCUAGCCAUUCCAAGAUUGACCAGUUUGAUUCAGAUUUUCUAUCUUUUACAUGACUACAAUGUUUUGGCGAGAAAGAUUCUCUUUUUUCCUCUUAGCAAGAUCUGAUCAAGAAAUCCGAGACACCGUGGGGGCAAUUAAACAAGGUUUCACUUCCUUGAAUCGUGAAGAACGAGCAGUGACCGUGAUCUUAGCGCGAACGACUCUCAAUCCUCCAGAGAGGGGGAGAAGAAGUAAAGCUUGGGAAUGGAGAUGGAGAUUAGCACGAAAGCGAGAGUGAGAGAGAUGACCUCCGACAGCAAGAUUGGCGGUGAGCAUGAAGGGUAGAACGCGGCGAAGGAAGCCCUUCUUCGCAGCAGCAGGCGGCAGACGAGGAGGAGGAGCAGCAACGGCUGCAGAAGACGCUCGUGAGACCGCCAUGACAAGGACGAGUUGUCCGCCACAGCCACAGAGAGCGAUGGGUAUGACCAACUCGGCCGGAUGGAUUUCCUUUCGGCUGUGGAUCCUCUCCAAAACGAACCCCGGUGGAAAUUUUAAACUUCCUGUAUAUAGCCGGAUACGGCAGGGCUCCACCAACGAUUCCGAAUCAAACAGUCCUGAUAGCGACAAAUAACCUUACAAUAAUUGGAAGGGAUCCGUUCCCUUCCCUGACGCGUUCCCUUUAGUUGGAGCAUUUUCAUUAGCUUUUAUUAGUUACUUUUAAUAGGAAUAAUUGAUGAAGUGAUAUAUAUAUAUAUAUAUAUAUAUAUAUAUACAUGGCACCACAUCGCAGCACCUCCUAGAGGGAGAAAUACCUCUUAGUGUUUUAUUGUUUUGAACUAAUAAAAAUAAAAAAAGUAAGUCUAAGUACAAUAAGUUAGAUUAGUAAUUUGAAAUAUAGGAAUACUAUUUUUGGAAGAGAGGAUAAUUGAUAGUCAUUUGAUUAGAAGAAGAAUAAAUAUUAUUUGCUUAUAAAAGAGUAAGUGAAUAUGGAAAAAAAAACUAAAGAGAUGAUAAUACUAUAUUUAAAUUUGGUAUAAUGAAAAAAUUAAACUCAGAAAUUAUAUGAGAAUUAUUGUUGAUAAGGUUCUUAAGAAUAAUAUUAUAAAUAUAAAAAAAUUUAGAGAUAGAAUUAUAAUUCUAAAAUUUGUGAAAGGAUAAAGAUGUUUUGAAUAUCAUUAGUACUUAUGCAUCUCAAGCCAAAUUGGAUGAAUAAAUCGAAGAGAAUUUUAGGAAAUAUUAGUUGAUAUCAUCCUAUAACUAAAAAACUUAUAAUUAGAAAAUAUUUGAAUGAUCAUGUAUAGAAAAUAUAUGGUGAAUAUAAAGAGAUGUAUGAGGGCUUUGGUUAUGGAAAGAGAAAUGAAGAUGAUGGUAUGAUUUUGAAUUUUAUAUUUUUUUUAUGAUCUUAUAAUUAUAAAUACUUAUUUUAAGAAAAAAAAUAAAUAUUUUAAUUUUUUAUAAUAGUGGUCAUAACUAUAAUCAAAAAAAAUUUUCUCGUUAGAAAGGUAAAUAAAAUUAUUUGUAAGAAGUAUAAAAUUAUACCUUAUAAAAGUUUAACAAAUCAAUGAUAUUAGAUAUUUAUUAUAGAAAAUAAAAGAAAAAAAGAUAGAAGAAAAAAAUUAAUAAGACAAGAUGGUAAAAUUUUUAAAAUGAUAUUGUAAACACUAUUAAGAAUAAGAUGGAAAACGAUGGGACUUGAAACUUACUCGAGGAUAAUAUUAAUAUUAUUUAAACUAUGAUAAUUAAUAAUAUAAGGAGCUGGGAGAUUCUUGAUAAGACUAAAUGUAAGGAAGUUUAAAAAAUAAUUUUUACUAAAAAUCAUAUUUUAAUAUUUUAAAAUUAUAAAAAUAAAGAAAAACUUAAAAUAAUUAAAAUAAUUAUAAAUAAUAAUUAUAAAUGAUUAGUAUGGUAAGAUACAAAGCUUAGGAUAAUUUUUAUAAUAAAUUAAGUAUUAAAGAUGGUGAAAAAGAUAUAUAUCGAAUUGUUAGAGAAAAAAAAAAUAAUGAUUUAGGUAACAUUAGAUGUAUUAAAGACGAAGAAUUAUUUUUUUUUUUUAACCAAGAAUUUGCAUGUAAGAAUCUGUAGUUGGGAGCAGCACGAGGGAUGUUGACUUUUGGUCAACAUCCCUAGUUGACCCGAUUUGCCGAAAUCUGACUCAGUUUUGAAUCAGUUCUCACACUAACAUAUGUCAAAAAAAGAUCAGUGUUUCCACACAUUAACUGACCAAAUCAGCUUCAUUUUCUAGUAUGAGAAACAGUAAGAACAAGGAAAUAGAAUUUGACAUAAUUUAAUGCAGAUGUUUCAUGAGUAUCAUUGACUGGUAAAUAAACAUAAAUUGUAAAAGGCAGGAAUUAGACUUGGAAUAAGUUGCAGUAAGCAACAUGUUUCAGAGAGGAGAAAGGUAUUUUGGCAGCUGCAGUAGGCAUGCAGGAGCGAGCACUCCCACGAUACAUAUAUAUGUACAGUCUAAAAGAGUCACCAGAGAAAGACUUUCCUCCAUGUUGAUGCAGCAGGAGCACGAUAUGUUUAUGCAGUAGCAGCUGCAGCUUCUUCAGCCAUUUGCGACACAGGAAGAAGGGUGCAGAUGAGAUUACGAUCGCCAUACACGUUGUCGACGCGUCCUAGUGAAUAAACCACAACCAAAUGCAGUAUUGUCACUCUCAGUUCUCUUCCUGGUAAAUGAAAGCAAGAUGAGUGAGUCAAAGCUCGUACCUGUAGUUGGCCAGAAUUUAGCACCUCGGAGCCAAGCAGCAGGGAAAGCUGC
RNAcentral lists this long non-coding RNA (54523 nucleotides) under Musa acuminata (dwarf banana). RNAcentral's name for it is "long non-coding RNA (MACU_LNC001558)". Lineage: Eukaryota; Viridiplantae; Streptophyta; Magnoliopsida; Zingiberales; Musaceae. The record is from RNAcentral.